Molecule: long non-coding RNA, 71974 nt
Filed under: Lupinus angustifolius (narrow-leaved blue lupine)
Lineage: Eukaryota; Viridiplantae; Streptophyta; Magnoliopsida; Fabales; Fabaceae
Description: long non-coding RNA (LANG_LNC000807)
Source: RNAcentral
UCCAACACACACUUUUGAUAUUCAUUCUUGUGAUGCUUGGAUCCGAAGUUUAUCAAAUGGCAGUGGCGGACAACAAUAUGUGCGAAUACAUUUGCAACCAGGACCAUAAAGUGUUUGACACCAUAUGUCUGCGCUACAAGGAAAAUGCUCAAUGCGACCCCACGCAUAUGAUUCUUUACACAUAUCUGUAUUCACAUAAAUAAUACAUGAACAAAAUUCAUAUUAUACAUUGCAAGUAAAUUUGGAUGAAUAAUUAGAGUAUAGUGAAAAUAAUAUAGGAUAUAGAAUUGGAUCCAUACAUUUGAACAAGAGACACGAUUAGGGUCGCGUAAAACAAAAUUUCUAACCUGUUGCAAAGAUGAAAACCAAUACAAAAGCCAGUUUAAUAAUUGACAUCCUCAUACUUAAGUAAUUGUCCACACUUGAAACUUGAUCAAAUAAGAACUUUUGAAUGGAUGUCUCAAAUCAUUGUGAGCCCCUCGAGAGUAUUACAACUUCCAAAAGAUGAAUUAGGUCCUUCAAUAGCUUAUAUUUUCAAUAUGCGUAUAAUAUCUAUGUAUUGUUAGUGUAAAGAUUUAUAUAAAUCACUACAUUAUCCACAAUUCAUUUGAGUUACAUUCUUUGAAGAGUCAAUGAUGAUUAAAUAUGAAUAGUGGAUGACGAAAUGACAGUGACAAUAUAUAAAACGCAUACACUAUUAGUCUAUACAUAUUUUUCUCUUUCAAUAUUAGAAAAAUUACAUCUCAUUUAUUCUAGAAUAAAUGCAUUGCUUUGAAUAGUCAAAGACUAAUUAUUACAAGAAGUUAAGAUAUUGAUGUAAUAUUUCAAUUGAUCCUUGUGUAUCGUACAAUAUGAAAUUCUUAUGUUUAAUAUUUAGGGUCCGUCGUGACAUUUUAUAGGCCAUUCACAUAGUAAAAUAAUAGACAUUAUUUAUCAUAAGAAAAUAUGUUAAAUUUAAAUGUCGGAAUUUAAAGGAAAAUGAGAGUUCAAAAUAAGUCACGAUGACAACAAAAACAACUAUUCAUUCAUCAUAAAAAGAAUUUAAUUAUGUAAAAUAAUUUGCAAUAAUAUUUCAACUAAAAAAGUCUCAUGAAAAUCAUGAGAAAAUGUAAUACAUUUUUUCUUGCUCAUUUAAUAUUUGUUAUUUGUUGCAAACUUGAGUAUAAUAUUUUAUGUUUAUUUUUUAGUUACAUUCUUAAUAAAUCUAAUAUUUUGUAUGAUCUUUUAUUUUUAGUCACAUUUCACAUGGAAAUUAUUUAGCACAAUAUGUUUUUAAACUAUUACUCACAUUCAUAAUAAAUUCAUACUUCGUAAGGCAAUAAUUCAAAAUAAUUAAUAAAGGUAAUAGUACACAUGUUCUUUAGUAGUGAGAUUUUUUGUGUAAAAAGAAUAAUUAUCUAUUUAGGUAAAAUAAUUGGUCCCGUUAUUUAUGCGUCAUGUAUGACACAUUUGUCACACAUGCAUAGGUAGACAUAUGAAUACUUAUAAACAACUCUUAUUUGAAGGGAUAAUUACUUAUUCCAAAAGAUAUUAUUACAUUUUUUUUGGGUAGAUUAAAUUUUCAUUAAUAUAAAACGUCUUCUACGAAUUUUGGACAUAAUACAAAAAUAUUAUUAUAAGUAAACAAAAAAUAAAAAAUAAUGACAAAACCACAAUAAAAAUACUUACAUUUAAUGUUGUAGUAUCAUAUAUGAUAGUUCAACUUUUUCAGACAAGGAAUUUGUAAAUUGUGUAUUGCUGGUGAGUAUAUGAAUUGAUUUUGACGUUGAAAAAUAUUUUUUUUUUAGUUUAUUACAUGCAUAGUUUUAUUUAUUGUCAAUUAAUUUUAUUUAAUUACCCAUCCUUUAUAUUCUUGUGCAAAGUAUAGGCAGUCACACUAAAUUCAACCAAUAGCUUACAUUUUCAUCACAUGGAAAUUUAAUUUCCUAUCUCACUUAUUCUAUGAUAAAUGUCUUGCUUUAAAUAGUCAAAAAUUAAUUAUAAUAAGAAGUUGAUAUAAUUACGUAAGAUCUCACAGAAUAUCUAUUUAUUUAUCUAUAUAUAUAAUGCACUAUCAAAUAUUAGUGUUGAAUACUUAGGGCUAGUCUUGAUAUUUUAUAGGCCAUCCACAAAGAAAAAGUGGGAGACUUCCUUUAUUAUAAAAAAAUAUGUGAAACUUAUAUGUCAAAGCUUAAACGAAAAUAAGAUAUUAAAGCAAAUCAUGUUCAAAAAAUAAGUACAUAAAAUGAGAACAUAUAAUAUAUUUCAACAAUGAAAAUUCACCUAUGAAAAUUGUCAUAAAAUGAGAACAUAUAAUAUAUUUUCUUUUUCUAAUAAGAUGUGGCUUCAACAUCAAGGUCUAAGGAGGGUGGUUGAGUCUCACUGGUCUAACACUGUAGUGGGAUGUCCUAUGUAUGUUCUUUCUAAUAAGCUCAAGGGUCUUAAGACUAUUUUGAAAACCUGGAAUAAAGAGGUCUUUGGCAACAUUCAUUUAAGGGUUAAGAAUACUUUAACUUCUGUUGAGUUUAUCCAGAAGAAGCUCUCAGGUGAGGGCCAAUCUGAUCUCCUUUUGGCUCAAGAGGAGCAGGCUCAAAAGGACUUGUUGGUGGCCUUGAAUUCUAAAGAGGAGUUUUGGAAAGAGAAGUCUAGAUUGAAUUGGAAGAUCAGUGGGGAUAGGAACACUAGCUACUUUCAUAAAAUUGCCAAAAUCAGGUUUGCUACUAAGUCUAUGUCAAUGCUUAGAUAGGAGGAUACCACUCUGCUUGAUCAACAUGAAAUUGAGGAGCAUGUGUUAGAUUACUUCACCAAAUUGUAUGCCUCUAACAAUGAUAUUCUCCCCAGUAGUCUCAUUAACCAGGUUAUUCCUCAGCUGGUUUAUGAUGAUGACAACAUUAUGCUAUCCUCAAUCCCUCUGAAUGAUGAGAUCAGAUCUGCUGUAUUUGCCAUGAAUGGUGAGGGGGCACCUGGCCCUGAUGGGUUUGGUGGGUGUUUUUUCCAGGAAUUUUGGGAUAUCAUUGGUCAUGAUGUGUGUCAAUAUGUUAUUCAGUUUUUCACUCAGGGAUGGAUCCUUCCCAAUCUUAACUCUAACAAUAUUGUCCUAAUCCCUAAGUUCUCUGGUGCUGACAGAAUUGAGGACUUUAGGCCAAUUUCCUUAGCAAACUUCCAAUUCAAGAUCAUUACUAAAGUCUUGGUUGAUAGGUUGGCUCUUAUUGCUCCAAAAAUUAUCUCCAACCAGUAGAGGAGCUUCAUCAAAGAUAGACAUAUCCAGGACUGCAUUUGUAUUGCCUCUGAAGCAAUUAAUCUCCUUGACCACAAGACCUUUGGUGGUAAUCUUGCUUUAAAGUUGGAUAUCAAGAAGGCUUUUGAUACUAUUGAUUGGAGGUUUCUAUUGGACACUUCAAGGCCUUUGGUUUUUCGAAUUCCUUCACCAAUUGGGUAGGGGUCAUCCUGAAGUCUACUAAGUUAUCCAUCUAUGUUAAUGGUCAUCUGGUGGGCUUUUUUAGUUGCAAGAGAGGGGUUAGGCAAGGUGAUCCUUUGUCCCCCCUUCUGUUUUGUUUGGCUGAGGAUGUGAUCAGCAGAGGCUUAACUAAGCUGCUGGAAAGUGGGAAAAUUAGCUCAAUCUCUGGCCCAAGGAUUGUCACCCCUAGUCAUGUUCUUUAUGCUGAUGACAUCCUGAUUUUAUGUAAAGGGAUCAAAAGGGAGUUAUCUGCAAUCAAGGAUUUGUUCAUUGACUAUGCUAAUGUUUCUGGUCAAUGUCUAAACCUUAGCAAGUGCAAGUUCUAUUCCAUUCAAGCCAAUGCUAGGAAAAUUACCAAUCUCACCAACUGGUUGGGUUUUGGAGCUGGCCAAUUGCCCUUCAACUAUCUUGGUGUCCCCUUAUUCAAGGGUAAGCCAAAAGCUAUUCAUUUGCAACCAAUUGCUGAUAGGAUUGUUAACAAGUUGCCCAAUUGGAAGGGAUCUUGCCUCUCAAUUAUGGGUAGAGUUGAGCUUGUUAAAUCCAUCAUUCAUAGCAUGUUAGUUUAUAGCUUUCAUGUUUAUAAUUGGCCUGUCAAUUUACUCAAAAAGAUGGAUAAUUGCAUAAGGAAUUUCAUCUGGUCUGGGGACACUCAUGUUAAAAAGCUUGUUACUGUUGCCUGACAUAAGGUUUGUUGCCCUGUCACAGAGGGUGGUCUUGGCAUAAGAUCUAUUUCAGCCAUGAAUCAAGCUGCAAUUCUCAAACUUGCUUGGGACAUGAGAUCCUCCUCUAAGGAAUGGGCAACCUUUUAUAGGAAGAGAUACUCUAAAAGGACCACUUACACAAAGUCCUCUGUUUGGCCUGGUAUCAAAAAACAUUGGCAAUUGAUCAAGGACAAUUCAAUCUGGUUAUUGGGAAAUGGAAAUAGCAUCAACUAUUGGUUGGACAAUUGCUGGGUUCCCCUCUAGCUGAUCUCCUUGCAAUUCCUGAUCCAUUCUCCUUUGUUCUCCAAGCCAGAGUUGCUGAUUUCAUGCAGGAUUCAUCUUGGAUCAUUCCUGCUUGGUUGGCUAGGCUUCACCCUGCAGUGUGUCAGCAAAUUGUGAACACUACUAUUCCUAAUGCCUCUACGGAUGACAAACUGGCUUGGUUACAUUCCACAGAUGGAUCUCUUAGUAUGAAAGAGGCUUAUCUUUUCACCAAACUUGCCCAACCUCAGCACAAUUGGUGCAAGCAGGUUUGGUCAAUAUCAAUUCCUCCCUCAAAAUCCUUCCUUACUUGGAGGCUUUACAAUAACAGAUUGCCUACUGAUGAGAAUUUGCAAGCUAGAGGCAUGACUAUGGGAUCCAUUUGCAAUUUGUGUUGGUCUAGUGAAGAGACAUCUAAUCAUUUGUUCUUUCAGUGCAGUUUUGCAAUUGAUAUCUGGAACUAGUUGAGUAGCCAACUUGGCUUUAGAUUAGAUAAUGGUUCCAUUCAAAGCUUGAUGAACAUCUCUAAAAGGUGGAGCCCUCAAGUGAAUCUGGUCAUGAGGGCUAGCAUUAUUAACUCAAUCUCUGUCAUCUGGUAUUGCAGGAAUAAAGCCAGAUUUGAGAAUUUAUCAACCUCCAUUGCCCAGGCAACGACAAAAAUAAAAAAUGACACUUCCUUUACAGGGAAGUUCUCUAAGCUUUGUGUUAGGUCGUCCAUGCCUGAGUUCUCAAUCCUGAAGGCUUUCAAUGUGACUUGUCAUUACAACAAGGCUCCUACAAUCUUUGAAGUUAACUGGAACCUCCCUUCUCCUGGUUGGGUAAUAAUUAACUCCGAUGGGGCUGCUAAGGGCUUUCCUGGGCACGCUGGGGGAGGUGCUAUUUUUAGAGACAACAGUGGUAGUUUCUUGGGUUGCUUUGCCUCUUACUUCAGUAUUCAAGACUCUCUUUAUGCUGAAGUCCUUGCUGCAAUCUUGGCUAUCCAAAUUGCCUUCUCUAACGGUUGGUUUCUCGUGUGGCUUGAGUGUGACUCAACUUGGGUGGUGGAGAUCUUCAGGGGUAACAUGGCUGUUCCUUGGAAGCUAAGUAACCUAAUGCUAAAGUGUAGGAGAACUAUGUUGUCUAUGCAAAUCAAAAUAUCUCAUAUAUAUCAGGAAGGUAAUGUUUAUGCUGAUAAGUUAGCCAAUUAUAAUGUCAUUUCUAGGUGUGAUUCUUGGUGGACUGCUCCACCUAAUUUUAUUUUGCCUGAUUUUCAUAGAAACAAGUUGCUCCUUCCUAACUAUAGGUUUGAGGAUUUAUAAUGGCUCUUUGUAAUCCGGUUUUCUAAUAUAUUUCUGGGUGUGUUUCACCCUUGCAUAAAAAAAACAAAAUAUAUUUUCUUUUUCUUACUUAUUUGUUAUUGUUACUGUUGUCAGACAUGAGCCUACUAUAUAUUUUUAAUUAUUAGGCACAUUCUCAAUGGAUCUCAUAUUUUUUACACUAAGGGCAGACCUAAUUUUAAUUCUACCUCUCAAAUAUGAUAGCAUAAUAAUAUAAGGAUUACUACAAUUAAUUAAAUAUAAUAUAUGUAAUUUAAUAAUUAAUAAAAGGAAGAAUUCUUCACAUGUUCUGCAGUAUUGAUAUUUUUGUGUAAAAUAAAAAACAUGAAAGUACAAAAUAUAUGUGAAGGUAAAAAAAUUGUCCCAUGUUAAUAUUUUUACUCAUUCUGAAUGAUAUUAGUAUUGAUAUUUUUACUCACUUUGAACUAUAUUAGUUUCUUAUCUAUAAGAUGAUGUAAUACCUUAUUUAAAAAAAAAAGAUACAUUCUAUAAUAGAAACAAAAGAUGAAUUUAUAUUAAUUAAUACUUUAUAUUUUCAACAAAUUAAAAUUUAUUUUUUAUCUUUAAAAUUUGUCAUCUAACUCAUCUAAAAAUAAAUAUGGUGCUGUUAAUAGUCAAAUAUUUAUUCUAAAAUAAUAGCCAUCAAAUAAAUAAAUAUAUAUAUAUAUAUAUAUAUAUAAUAUUGCUUGGUUUUGAAGCUGUAGUACUCUUCCAAUAAUGUUAAACUUUUUAUUUGAAUUUUUGACUUAAUGUUAAAUAUUAUUAUGAGUAAAUAAAAAACAAUAAAUAAUUAUCAAGGACCAUAAAAAAUAAUAAAAAUUACUUACAUUUAAUGCCUUGAAACAUGUAUGGAAAUCUAAUUUUUUACACAAACAAUUUGUAAUUUUUUUUUUAAGGCUGGGUGAAAUACAUAACUAUGAAUGAGUACAUAAAUUGAUUAUGACUUUCAAAAAUAUUUUGUAUAGAUUUCUAAAUUUUUCAUUUUGUUUGUUUAUGGUCAAUUGAUAUUAUCUGUUUACAUACAUGUCCUUUAGAUUCUACUACAAAAUAUUUGGCCAAUAAACNNNNNNNNNNNNNNNNNNNNNNNNNNNNNNNNNNNNNNNNNNNNNNNNNNNNNNNNNNNNNNNNNNNNNNNNNNNNNNNNNNNNNNNNNNNNNNNNNNNNUAAUUCUAUACCUUUGGUACUCUAUUAAUAAAAUUUGUUUUUAGUCUUAUCUUUUUAGAUUUGAAUAAUAUGUUUUCUUUAUUGGUUUAUCUUCUAACAUAACUAAACAUGAAAAUGAGUAAUGAAUUUGAAUGUGAAGCUUCUGGACCAUUACUGAAGAGUUUGAUGUGAAUAGUAAAAUGUGUAUAACUAUGCUUGAUAUUGUUUGUUACUAAGAAGGCAUGAGAAUGAAAGUUGAGUGAUUAUGAAAAAUAUACACUAUCUAUAUGAACUUGUAUUAUAUUAGCACUGUUGAAUUUGUUUGAAUCAUAUUUUACUAAGUGAUUGUGAUACAUGGANNNNNNNNNNNNNNNNNNNNNNNNNNNNNNNNNNNNNNNNNNNNNNNNNNNNNNNNNNNNNNNNNNNNNNNNNNNNNNNNNNNNNNNNNNNNNNNNNNNNGGAUAACAGAGUUAAGUGUUACAUUGAGUUAAAUUCUAAGUUGGGGAGAGGAAAAUGUAUCUAUGAAAAAAGUGGGAAAUAAGUAUUGUAGUACACCAUUCAUCCCAUGAAAAACAAGAAAAGAAAUACUCCACAAAAAGGGGAGGGAAAAAAAAUCAAAGGAUGAAUGGUGGCAAAAUGAAAUGAAAAGAAGAAAAGAGAAAUACAAAUAAAUGAUUUGUACUACAAGUAGAUCUUUCGCUUAUGCUUUUAUCGCUUCGGCUUAUGAUUCCAUCAUUCCAAGAUUCAACAAUGAAUUAUCAUAAUCCAAUUCCAUUUUUCUUCAUCAGCCAUUAGCAUGAGACGAGCAUAGAUAUCAAUGGUGACAAGAAAGGAACAUCUGAAUCUUUAGCAUGAGAGGAGCAUAUUAAGAAUGCAGCUAUGAUUGCUAAAGAAAUAAGAGUUUCUGACAUAAUCAGUGGCGGAAUACACCUAGAAGGGGGGUUGAAUAGGUGUGGCGGAACUCAAUUUCAAUUUUCUGGUUUUUACACACUUGCUGAAAAAAAUGCCUAGUUAAUCGAUUAACAACUAGACGUAAUCGAUUAACGAGUAAUAGAAACAGAAUGAUCAAAACAACAACUAGCACGAUUAUUAACAAACACACAAACAAAUAUGCAGCAGAUAUUUUUGUGCAAGAUUAACAAGGACAUAGCAAGGAAAAAGUAUGCAAAAUAUUAGCUCCAAACACGCAUUAAAACAUCUUCAAAUAUAAAAGAGAAAAGGAUAGAAAAGAUUGCGCAGGGAUUUUAUCCUGGUUCGUUUUGUGUUCCACUGCAAAACUACAUCCAGUCCUCCCCUCUGAUUUUGGAGAUUUUCCUUCUUCACUAUGAAACACAAUGUACGUUACAUACACACUUCCAAAUACAAAACUUGAAUGCUCCCUUCUUGGAAUCCAAAGAACUACGUUACCCUUGGUUUCACCUUUCCCAAAACUGCCUCCCAAGAAAACCUUUCUUAUGCGAUUCGGUCCCAGCCAAGGUAUCGCUCUUUAUCCCAAGACCUCCAAGUCUUUGUGUGAAGAACACCAUACCUAACCGCAACUAGGAUUUUCCCAAUCCUUUAAUAACAAUGCUUUGAGUUAUGAAAGAGUACUUAAUACUCGGAUAUUACAAUGAAAACCAAAGCCUAAAAACCUCAGCAAGAACUCAGAAGACUUCCAAGUCUAAUGUGAAUGCACAUGCAUGAGGUUUCUGAAAAUAUGCAAUCUUUAAAGAACUAUCUUUCUCUUUUCAAGAAACAAAAGAAUAAUGCAAGAAAGCUUUUGAAAGAAACAUGCAAGAUGAAUGUGAAAGCUAAAGCCUUAGCAUGAUCUAAUCUUUCUCCUAAUUCAACACUUUCUAAUAGAUUCUAAUAAUGAAGAUCUAUAUCUAUUCUCUUGUGUUUUUCACUCUUCUUUUUCCUCUUCUUCUUAGUUUGCCGUUUAUGCAAUUAAGCCAGUAUUUAUAGAAAACAGAUUUUGGCUCUUGAAAACGGUUUUUCAGUUAUGCUGUUGAAACAGCAUAAAAACAUACACGUUAAUCGAUUAAGCCAUGAGGUUAAUCGAUUAACCAAUGUAUUUUUAAUACAUGAUUAAAUGGUAAACUACUUAUAUGUUAUAUGCUCAUGCAAUACAUGAUUUCCAAAAUAUAAUACCUUUAAUGCAUAAAAUCAAUGUAUAUAAAUGCAUGAACCUAAUUAUCAUAUAUUUCUUGAUGAUGUCUCAUUUUAGUUGAUUAAUUACUUUAUUAAGUCUAGUGAGACUCACGCUUAGGUUUACCUAACCUAGACUCAAUAUCUAUGGCAAGCAUCUUAGACUUCUAAAAAGAUAAUAAAGAAUAAUAGCAUAAGUCUAAUAAGACACCACUUGAGCCUUCGACAUGUUGAUUGUUGAGCCAUCUUCAAGCUUUAACGAAUUCCUUGUCUUCAUCGAAUUCCUUGUCUUCAUCAAAACAUAGGCAAACGUUGCUAAUGCAAUCCUUGACGCUUUGCACUCUUAGAAAUACUCCACAAAAAGGGGAGUGAAAAAAAAUCAAAGGAUGAAUGGUGGAAAAAUGAAAUGAAAAGAAGAAAAGAGAAAUACAAAUAAAUGAUUUAUACUACUAGUAGAUCUUUCGCUUAUGCUUUUUCAUAUGAUACAUAUGUGACAGCAAACCAGAGAUUACAUACAAUGUGGGACUAAUUAGUAGAUUCAUGAGUGAUCCAAGGUACUCACACUUACUAGCAACUAAGAGGAUCAUGAGAUACCUCAAGGGAACAUGUGGAUAUGGAAUCUUGUUCUCAACUCAUCAAGGAAAUAGUGACAACAAUCUCAAACUUGUAGCAUACUCAGAUUCAGAUUGAUAUGGAGUCUUAGUUGAUAGAAAAAGUACAAUGAGACAUAUAUUCCUACUAUCAGGCACACCUAUAACUUGGAGCUCAAAGAAGCAGUCAGUUGUGGCCCUAUCAACUUGUGAAGUAGAAUAUAUUGCAACAUCCUCAACUGCUUGCCAAGCAUUUUGGCUAUCAUCUUUGCUUUGUGAAAUGAAUAUACUUAAUGUAGAGAACAUGGAAUUGCUGGUUGAUAGUAAAUCAACAAUAGACUUGGCCAAAAAUCUAGAAUCCUAUGCUAGGAGUAAACAUAUUGAUACUAAGUAUCAUUUCCUUAGAGACCAAGUAAGCAAGGUUGAGAUUGAUAAAAAGUUUCAUUAACUUAGAUUCAACUAAAGCAUUGCAACACUGAUUUUUAGGUGGCUGACAUUUUAACUAAGCCGCUAAAGGUUGACAGAUUCAAGAGAUUGAGAGACUUGUUGAAUGUGACUUGUUUGUAAUGGGUUUUGAAUCAAGGAAGGGUGUUAGAAAUGAUUCAAAACUUGGAGAGAUAGUUAGUCAGUUUUAGAGUUUUCUGUUUUUAGAACUCUAGUUGUAAUACUUGCUAUAAAUAGAUAUUUUACUCCUUAGUUGAAUCAUUGAGAAAUAUACAACACACAUUAUUUAGUAUAUACAAUUCUACUCUCUGAUAUACUCUUCUAUACACUAUCUGUAUUUUCUUUCUCUUUUUCUUCUUGUCUCUACACACGAUUUCACUCUGCAAAUUUUCUUUCUCUAGUUUCUUUCAACAUUCUUCAUUCUUCCAACAUGUUCAUGUACUGGUUCAGUAGGGUAUCAGAAGGAAAAGCUUGUCAUUGGUGCAAGGUUUGAAGAUAGAGUUCACCUAUACCAUGAUUCUUAAGGACCUCAAGAAUGAGUUUUGUUGUUCCAUCUCACACCAACAAGAAACCUCUUGAUCGAACAAGGUAGACAGACAACCUCAUAAACCAAACAAGAAGCGUAGUCUAUAAGCCCUAUUAGGCUAGAGACCAAAAAGACCGAGCAACAAAAAGAAGUGUUCUAUCAAUGAAAAGACAACAUGGGGCCCACCCUACUACCCCUAUGUUGUGCCACAUGCAUAAAACUGUCACCUCUGAUUGAAUAGCCUAGACCUUUGUUACAUGUUGCAUGCUACCUAUGCCCUACUGUUCCUAUCAACAACAAUUCACUAUGCCAUAGCUGAUAAAUGUAAGGCAUAAGAGAAAUAACAGUGCUUAUUGAAGCAAGUGACGUUAAAGAUGUUAUCUUUAACAACGCUUAUUUAAGAAAACGCUGUUAAAGGUCAUACUUCAUAUAUUUAACAANNNNNNNNNNNNNNNNNNNNNNNNNNNNNNNNNNNNNNNNNNNNNNNNNNNNNNNNNNNNNNNNNNNNNNNNNNNNNNNNNNNNNNNNNNNNNNNNNNNNGGAGGAGAAAGAAUGAAUAAAAUUUGCGUAAGAUCUCAUUACUCAUAUGUUAUUUUAUAAUAUUGGAAUCUGACAAGGUUGAAUGUAGCUGAAGUCGUUGGUGAUUUAAUAAAUCUGUUGUAAACGUGGUGGAGUUGGACAUGCUUGUCAUGUAUUGGAUAGAAUGUUUGGAAGAUAUAUUGUCUUAUUUAGAAAGUAGACAUUUAACAACGCUUGCUUCAGUGAGCGCUACUAAAUGUCUACUUUCUACAACGCUUCAAAAAAUAAUGUUAAAUAUAACUUUAUGUACUAUUGCGCUCACAUAGAAAGCGUCUAAAAAAUGUUGUUAAAUGACAAUUUUAAGUGUUGUAGUUUUUCUAUUCUGGCGUAGUGAUUGUAUCUCUCAAAAUCAGACAAGAUAGACUAAUAACAUAGUGAUACAUGCCAAUACGAGCAAAAGACAACCGUCCACCAAGUAUAUAUCUUCCAAAGCUACCUGACAUGGGAAAAUCAAUCUUCGUUUGUCCAGGAUAGACCCAACAUACCUUUUUAUCGAUCAAACCAACCUCAUCUACAAUGGAACUCAAAUUGUAGCCGAAACCUUCCCUAAGCAGGUUGCGGGUUGUGGCGUGCGGGCCGGAUAAUACUAGAAAAUAUUUAUUUAAAUUUUAACAUAUUUAAUCUAUUUAAUAUAUAUAUAUAUAUAUCAUUUGAUAUUAAUGUAUAACUUUUCUAACACACUUGUUAUGCCCAAUGCAAUCAAACUUAAUCUAAUGUCUUGUGUUUGAGUUAAGACGUGAUGUCAAGUCCACAUAUAUGAUUUUUAACAUAACNNNNNNNNNNNNNNNNNNNNNNNNNNNNNNNNNNNNNNNNNNNNNNNNNNNNNNNNNNNNNNNNNNNNNNNNNNNNNNNNNNNNNNNNNNNNNNNNNNNNAGAGAUGCCAUUUUUUAUUUGUAUUUGCUGCUUGCAAUAAUCAUUGAGGGACACAUGAACACUCAGUAAGGACUUGCACAUUGGAGGAGAAAGAAUGAACAAUUUGCGUAAGAUCUCAUUACUCAUAUGUUAUUUUAUAAUAUUGGAAUCUGACAAGGUUGAAUGUAGCUGAAGUCGUUGGUGAUAUAAUAAAUCUGUUGUAAAUGUGGUGGAGUUGGACAUGCUUGUCAUGUAUUGGAUAGAAUGUUUGGAAGAUAUACUGUCUUAUUUAGAAAGUAGACAUUUAACAAUGCUUGCUUCAGUGAGCGCUGCUAAAUGUCUACUUUCUACAACGCUUCAAAAAAUAAUGUUAAAUAUAACCUUAUGUAUUAUUGUGCUCACAUAGAAAGUGUCUCAAAAACGUUGUUAAAUGAAAAUUUUAAGUGUUGUAGUUUUUCUAUUGUAGCGUAGUGAUUGUAUCUCUCAAAAUCAGAGAAGAUAGACUAAUGACAUAGAUCUUCCAAAGCUACCUGACAUGGGAAAAGCAAUCUUCGUUUGUCCAGGAUAGACCCAACAUCUCAUUGGAUCGAUCAAACCAACCUCAUCUACAAUGGAACUCACUUGAUAUACACAUACUUAUUAACUCUUUCACUUUAUCUCUUACUUAUUAUUCUUUGAUAUUCUAUAUAUCUCUUACUUAUUGGCUUGAUCGUAGGAGAACCUUUCCACGUGCUUACCCCAAUGGGUUCAAGCACUUCUCAGGUUAUACUAGAUGAUUCUGAUCAAGUUACCACAAUCCGAAUCCAUCCUUUAAAGACCAAAAAACAUAUGCGGUAUGUGGAGGUGUCAAAAUAGACUACCCGAACGGGUUCAACCUAGCUCACAUUAGGUUCAGGCUAAAAAGCUCGGAUACAAUUUAUCCAUAUCAAAUUGUAGCCGAAACCUUCCCUAAGCGGGUUGGGGUUUGUCGUUUGUGGGCCUGGAUAAUACUAAAAAAUAUUUAUUUAAAUUUUAACAUAUUUAAUCUAUCUAAUAUAUAUAUAUAUAUAUAUAUAUAUCAUUUGAUAUUAAUGUAUAACUUUUCUAACACACUUGUUAUGCCCAAUGCAAUCAAACUUAAUCUAAUGUCUUGUGUUUGAGUUAAGACGUGAUGUCAAGUCCACAUAUAUGAUUUUUAACAUAACACAUACUAAAUCUCUCAUUUCUAUUGGACUAUGACUCCCUAACACAAUAUAAUUUGUAACUUCACUUUAAUAUAUAUACAUUUGGAUACUAUCAAAAUAUUAUCGCUUCGGUUUAUAGUAAUGGUAAUAUAGACACAAGUUUAGAAUGAACUUUAUUUGUCAAAAUAUAAUAACCAUCGCUUUAUUUGAUCGUUAUUCUUUAAUUUCUAUAGGAUGAUCAUUGUAUGUUAUUUAUUAAUACUUUUAUUGUGAACUAUUAUGUUAAAUUUGCUUGUGUGGAGUUCUCAAUGGUAAACAAUUAUGUUGUCUUUUAGUUUAGUUGUAAAAAAACUAUUUUCUUUAUUAUAUUUUUGUUGUAGAAGUUAAAUCUAAUUAAAUACAUAAUUAAGAAAUGAAAAGUGAAAUCUACAUGGUUUAAUGUCUUAUUAAUUUAUUUGAUAUACUAUUUUGUAUUACCUUUCAUUUUUAGUCACAUUUCAUAUGGAAAUCCUUUAGGGCAAUCUGUUUUUAAACUAUUACUCACAUUCUUAAUAAAUUAAUACUUUGAAAUGCAAUAAUUCAUAACAAUUAAUAAAGGUAAUAGUGCACAAGUUCUUUAGUAGUGAGAUAUUUUGUAUAAAAAAGAAUAAUUAUCUGUUUAGGUAAAACAAUUGGUCGCCGUUAUUUAUGCGUCAUGUAUGAUACAUUUGCCACACAUGCAUAGGUCUAGACAUAUUAAUACUUAUAAACAACUCUUGUUUGAAGGAAUAAUCACUUAUUGCAAAAGAUAUUAUUACAUUUUUGAAAGUCAAAAUCAAUUCAUAUACUCAUCAGCAAUACACAAUUUACAAAUUCCUUGUUCACAAUUUACAACUCUUGUUAGUGUUACUCUCGUAAGACAUGAGCCUAUAUAUUUUUUUAAUUAUUAGGCACAUUCUCAAUGGAUCUCAUAUUUUAAGGGCAGACCUAAUUUUAAUUCUACCUCUCAAAUAUGAUAGCAUAAUAUAAGGAUUACUACAAUUAAUUAAAUAUAAUAUAUGCAAUUUAAUAAUUAAUAAAAGGAAGAAUUCACAUGUUCUGCAGUAUUGAUAUUUUUUUGUAAAAUAAAAACAUGAAAGUACAAUAAAUUUGUGAAGGUAAAAAAAUUCUCCAAUGUUAAUAUUUUUACUCAUUCUUAACGAUAUUAGUAUUGAUAUUUUGACCCACUUUGAACUAUAUUAGUUUCUUAUGUACAACAUGAUGUAAUAUCUUAUUUAACAUAAAAGAUACAUUCUAUAAUAGAAACAAAAGAUGAAUUUAUAUUAAUUAAUACUUUAUAUUUUCAACAAAUUAAAAUUUGUUUUUUAUCUUUAAAAUUUGUCAUCUAACUCAUCUAAAAAUAAAUAUGGUGCUGUUAAUAGUCAAAUAUUUAUUCUAAAAUAAUAGCCAUCAAAUAAAUAAAUAUAUAUAUAUAUAUAUAUAUAUAAUAUUGCUUGGUUUUGAAGCUGUAGUACUCUUCCAAUAAUGUUAAACUUUUUAUUUGAAUUUUUGACUUAAUGUUAAAUAUUAUUAUGAGUAAAUAAAAAACAAUAAAUAAUUAUCAUGGACCAUAAAAAAUAAUAAAAAUUACUUACAUUUAAUGCGGUGAAUCAUAUAUGGAAGUCUAAUUUUUUACACAAACAAUUUGUAAAUUGAAACUAUGAAUGAGUACAUAAAUUGAUUUUGACUUUCAAAAAUAUUUUGUAUAGAUUUCUAAAUUUUUAAUUUUAUUAGUUUAUGGUCAAUUAAUAUUAUCUGUUUACCUACAUGUCCUUUAGAUUCUACUACAAAAUAUUUGGCCAAUAAACAAUUAUAUCAAAAAUUGAUUCAAGUGACUAGUAGAAGAAUUGUGCCCAUUAUAAAUAUAUUUGUGUAUUUAUUUAUUAUUUAUUUUAAAUCGCUUUAAUGAAUGCCAUUUGGAGUCAAGACACUCAUCAUGAAAUUAAAUAACUGAUAAUUUAUAUGGGAACGUGCGGGAUUAAAUAUAAUAUUUAUAUUAAAUGCACGUCUUAGUAACAAAUUUUUACUUUUGAAUAUUUACUUAGUUCUAUAAAGAUAUUUUGCACAUUUGUGUUAUAUUUUAUUUUGGUAAAUAAAACAAGUAUUGCCCAUGAAUGCAAUAUUCUUUGUAUUUGAGGUGACUACGACAAGCGAUGAUAACUCCAUACAAAAUACAUUCAAUGUUGAUAUAUUUAUAGGAAGUCUCUGAUUUGGAUUAAUGGUAGAAGUAGCUAGUCUGUAAUGAUUGUUAGGUAUCAGUGGCGGAAUACAUCUAGAAUGGGAGUUGAAUAGGUGUGACAUAACUAAAUUUCCACUUUUCUGGUUUUUACGCACUUGCUGAAAAAUGCCCAGUUAAUCGAUUAACAACUGGUCUUAAUCGAUUAACUAAUAACUGAAACAGAAUGAUCAAAACAACAACUUGCACGGUUAUUAACAAACACACAAACAGAUAUAGAACAGAUACUUUUGUGCAAGAUUAGCAAGAACAUAGCAAGGAACACGUAUGCAAAAUAUUAGUUGCAGAUUCGCAUUAAAACAUAUUGAAACAUAAAAGAGAAAAGGAUAGAAAAGAUUGCGCAUGGAUUUUAUCCUGGUUCGUUUUGCUAUCCACUGCAAAACUACAUCCAGUCCUCCCCUCUAAUUUGGNNNNNNNNNNNNNNNNNNNNNNNNNNNNNNNNNNNNNNNNNNNNNNNNNNNNNNNNNNNNNNNNNNNNNNNNNNNNNNNNNNNNNNNNNNNNNNNNNNNNCCAAGGUAUCGCUCUUUAUCCCAAGACCUCCAAGUCUUUGUGUGAAGAACACCUUACCUAACCGCAGCUAGGAUUUUCCCAAUCCUCUAACAAUGCUUUGAGUUAUGAAAGAGUACUUAUACUCAGAUAUUACAAUAAGAAUCAAAGCCAACAACCUAAGCAAGAACUCACAAGACGUCCUAGUCUAAUAUGAAUGUCCAUGCAUGAGGGUUAUGAAAAUACGCAAUCUUGAAAGAACUAUCUUUUCCUUUUCAAGAAACACAAGAAUAAUGCAAGAAAGCUUUUGAAAGAAUCAUGCAAUAUGAAUAUGAAAACUAAAGCUUUAGCAUGAUCUAAUCUUUCUCUUAAUUCAACAUUUUCUAAUAGAUUCUAAUAAUGAAGAUCUAUAUCUAUUCUCUUGUGUUUUUCACUCUUCUUUUUCUUAGUUUGUCGUUUAUGCAAUUAGCCAGUAUUUAUACAAAACAGNNNNNNNNNNNNNNNNNNNNNNNNNNNNNNNNNNNNNNNNNNNNNNNNNNNNNNNNNNNNNNNNNNNNNNNNNNNNNNNNNNNNNNNNNNNNNNNNNNNNUGAUUAAUUAAUUUAUUAAGUCUUGUGAGACUCACACCUAGGUUUACCUAACCUAGACUCAAUAUCUAUGGCAAGCAUCUUAGACUUCUAAAAAGAUAAUAUAGAAUAAUAGCAUAGGUCUAAUAAGAUACCACUUGAGCCUUCGACAUGUUGAUUGCUGAGCCAUCUUCAUGCUUUAACGAAUUCCUUGUCUUCAUCGAAUUCCUUGUCUUCGUCAAAACAUAGGCAAACAUGGCUAAUGCAAUCCUUGACGCUUUGCACUCUCAAUGAUAUAUUCUAACAUGGUUUCAAAUCCUCGUGAUUGUCUUAUAAAGUUGUUUUAAACCACUUAAUUUUCUUCAACAACCAUGUUUUUUUUUGAAUUUUAGUCUUCUAAAUUCUUGUAAUUAUAUACUUUGGUACUCUAUUAUUAAAUAUUGUUUUUAGCAAUGAAUUAUAUUCAUCCAAUUCCAUUUUUCUUCAUCAGCCUUUAGCAUGAGAGGAGCAUAGAUAUCAAUGGUGACAAGAAAGGAACAUCUAAAUCUUUAGCAUGAGAGGAGCAUAUUAAGAAUGCAGCUAUGAGUGCUAAAGCAAUAAGAGUUUCUGAUAUAAUCAGUGGCGGAAUACACCUAGAAGGGGGGUUGAAUAGGUGUGGCGGAACUCAAUUUCCACUUUUCUGGUUUUUACACACUUGCUGAAAAAUGCCCAAUUAAUCGAUUAACAACUAAUCUUAAUCGAUUAACCAGUAACAGAAACAGAAUGAUCAAAACAACAACUUGCACGGUUAUUAACAAACACACAAACAAAUAUACAGCAGAUACUUUUGUGCAAGAUUAACAAGGACAUAGCAAGGAAAAAGUAUGCAAAAUAUUAGCUCCAAACACGCAUUAAAACAUCUUCAAAUAUAAAAGAGAAAUACAAAUAAAUGACUUGUACUACAAUUAGAUCUUUCCCUUAUGCUUUUAUCGCUUCGGCUUAUGAUUCCAUCAUUCCAAGAUUCAACAAUGAAUUAUCAUCAUUCAAUUCCAUUUUUUCAUCAUCAACCUUUAGCAUGAGAGGAGCAUAGAUAUCAAUGGUGACAAAAAAGGAACAUCUGAAUCUUUAGCAUGAGAGGAGCAUAGUAAGAAUGCAGCUAUGAGUGCUAUAGCGAUAAGAGUUUUGGACAUAAAAUCUGCCAUUGGAGAGAGGAAGAAUCAAUGGAGAAUUAGAGAGAGUUAGUGAAAUUGUGAUUGUUGUCACAGAGAUAGACAAUUACAAUAAAGCUUGAAGAAUUGCACUGCCAACUUCUUGUUAUUGAAAACCUCAUACAAUAAUACACAUAUCACUUAGUUUAUGAUUUCUCUUACUUUUCUUCUUCUCCAUGAGUUACAUUUUUUCCUAUUUUGUUUUUAGUUUCUCUCUUCAAGCAAGUUAUCGGUUUUUGGUUUUUCUCUUCCAGCCUAAGGUAAAUCGCUAUCUUUUUUACCUCAUUUAUUUCUUUUUGAUUUAGUCUUGAUGCUUGCAUAUACACCAUAAAUAAAAAGUCUUCGAUGCAUUUGAAUCGUUAUAUGUUUAAAUAAUUAGUUUAUUUGUGAUCAAUUUGGUAGAAACAUUUCCCUCUUAGGGUGAUAUUUAUUUGUUGUAAAGUUAUGCAACUAUGGUGUUCUAGGUUUUUUGUUGUAGUUCACUAGUUUAGAACACAUAGUUUGAGUAUAAUGGUAAAUGUUCUUUCUCAAUUGCUGCUAAUUCUUUAUUUUUUAUAGCUUUUACAAUUUGUUUAGAGAUGCCAUUUUUUAUUUGUAUUUGCUGCUUGCAAUAAUCAUUGAGGUACACAUGAACACUCAGUAAGGACUUGCACAUUGGAGGAGAAAGAAUGAACAAUUUGCGUAAGAUCUCAUUACUCAUAUGUUAUUUUAUAAUAUUGGAAUCUGACAAGGUUGAAUGUAGCUGAAGUCGUUGGUGAUAUAAUAAAUCUGUUGUAAAUGUGGUGGAGUUGGACAUGCUUGUCAUGUAUUGGAUAGAAUGUUUGGAAGAUAUAUUGUCUUAUUUAGAAAGUAGACAUUUAACAAUGCUUGCUUCAGUGAGCGCUGCUAAAUGUCUACUUUCUACAACGCUUCAAAAAAUAAUGUUAAAUAUAACCUUAUGUACUAUUGCGCUCACAUAGAAAGCGUCUAAGAAACGUUAUUAAAUGACAAUUUUAAGUGUUGUAGUUUUUCUAUUCUGGCGUAGUGAUUGUAUCUCUCAAAAUCAGAGAAGAUAGACUAAUGACAUAGAUCUUCCAAAGCUACCUGACAUGGGAAAAGCAAUCUUCGUUUGUCCAGGAUAGACCCAACAUCUCAUUGGAUAGAUCAAACCAACCUCAUCUACAAUGGAACUCAAAUUGUAGCCGAAACCUUCCCUAAGCAGGUUGCGGGUUGUGGCGUGCGGGCCGGAUAAUACUAGAAAAUAUUUAUUUAAUAUUAAUGUAUAACUUUUCUAACACACUUGUUAUCCCCAAUGCAAUCAAACUUAAUCUAAUGUCUUGUGUUUGAGUUAAGACGUGAUGUCAAGUCUACAUAUAUGAUUUUUAACAUAACACAUACUAAAUCUCUCAUUUCUAUUGGACUAUGACUCCCUAACACAAUAUAAUUUGUAACUUCACUUUAAUAUAUAUACAUUUGGAUACUAUCAAAAUAUUAUCGCUUCGGUUUAUAGUAAUGGUAAUAUAGACACAAGUUUAGAAUGAACUAUUUAAUAUAUAUAUAUAUAUAUAUAUAUAUCAUUUGAUAUUAAUGUAUAACUUUUCUAACACACUUGUUAUGCCCAAUGCAAUCAAACUUAAUCUAAUGUCUUGUGUUUGAGUUAAGACGUGAUGUCAAGUCCACAUAUAUGAUUUUUAACAUUACACAUACUAAAUCUCUCAUUUCUAUUGGACUCUGACUCCCUAACACAAUAUAAUUUGUAACUUCACUUUAAUAUAUAUACAUUUGGAUACUGUCAAAAUAUUAUCGCUUCGGUAUAUAGUAAUGGUAAUAUAGACACAAGUUUAGAAUGAACUUUAUAUGUCAAAGUAUAAUAACCAUCGUAAUAUAUGAUCGUUAUUCUUUAAUUUCUAUAUGAUGAUCUUUUGUAUGCUAUUUAUCAAUACUUUUGUUGUGAACUAUUAUGUUAAAUUUGCUUGUGUGGAGUUCUCAAUGGUAAAAAAUUAUGUUGUAUUUUAGUUUAGUUGUAAAAAAACUAUUUUCUUUAUUAUAUUUUUGUUGUAGAAGUUAAAUAUAAUUAAAUACACAAUUAAGAAAUGAAAAGUGGAAUCUACAUGGUUUAAUGUCUUCUCAAUUGAUUUGAUAUACUAUUUUGUUAUUGUGGUUACAAAAGAUAUUAUGGAAUAUAGGAAAAAUAAUAUAAUACUUAACUUUAAAAACAUUAUUGUAAUUUAUAAAUAUUUAUAUUAUAGACAUCACUCUAUUUUCUAUUCAAAGUUCAUAACACAAUAUUUAUCAUAACACAUGUCAUUUCAAUCAACUUUUGUUAUAUCAACUCCCCUUUUGAUAUAUAUGAUGAUAUCUUUGUUUCAAAUAUACCAACCUAUUAAUGCAUAUAUUCUUAUAUACUUUAAUCGAUACAUAUAUGUUUUUUAAAUUUACUUUAGACAUUAUUGAUCUUAAGCAUGCGUAAGAGGGAACUGCACCAUGCGAAUGUACGGGUAACUUACUAGUUUAUUAUAUAUUUUUUAUUAUAAGUUAUUUUAUAAUAUAAAUUUAUGAGUUUUUGGUGGGCUGGCUGGACUAGCCAUGCCCAUUUUGACACCUCUAACUGUAUUGAUACUAUUAUUCAAGACCCAAAGUUGGGCCAAGUCAUACAACUUUUGGGAGAUCAAAAAUAGUUUAGUUUCGUAUUUGACAUAUAGCUGCACAAUAUCCUGAUAGCAGUACCUUCUUGGCUUGCACAACAAUAAUAUGUUGGAAGCUAGUUUGGAGGCAAUUUUAAUUUUUGUCAACCUAUUUUGGUUUCUCUUUAAUAAUUAAAAAAGUAAUAAUUUCAAUAUAUUUACUUAGAUCUUAGUAUUAAGUUGCACAUAUUAAUUUUAAUUUCAAUUGAUUUUACAUGUCAAAUAUUAACCAUGUAUAUUAUGUUUGGUAUGGUCAAUGGAAAUUAUUAUUUGUAGUCAAAAACGUUUUGUAAUUACAUUUGAGAUUAACAUUUUUCACAAAGAUAUAAUGUGUUACUUACUCGUAUCUAUGGUAAUAACUUUUUAAGAAAUAAAUUUGAAUCUUAGAUAAGGAAUGUGUUUUUACUCUUUUCGAAUAGUAAAUAUUUCUCAAAUUCAACAUAAAUCUACCUGAUUCAAAAGGGAAGAACUUGCCUCUGUCUCAAUUUGAAUUAGACUGCGUACCAUCACAUAUCAUCUAAACUAUGAUAAUAUGUAAUCUUAUGUAUAUAAGAUCAUGAUUAUGGAAAAUGUUUAAAUCUUAAGUUUUAUUUAACAUGACUUUAUAAGCUUUGAUAUUACAUGAUAAUAAGAUAUAAUCAAUCCUUAUCAACAUUUUAUUAUUCCAACACACACUUUUGAUACUCAUUCUUGUGAUGCUUGGAUCCGAAGUUUAUCAAAUGGCGGUGGUGGACAACAAUAUGUGUAAAUACAUUUGCAACCAGGACCAUAAAGUUUUUGACACUGUAUGUCUGCGCUACAUGGAAUAUGCUCAAUGCGACCCGCAUACGANNNNNNNNNNNNNNNNNNNNNNNNNNNNNNNNNNNNNNNNNNNNNNNNNNNNNNNNNNNNNNNNNNNNNNNNNNNNNNNNNNNNNNNNNNNNNNNNNNNNUUUAAUUAUGUAAAAUAAUUUGCAAUAAUAUUUCAACUAAAAAAGUCUAAUGAAAAUCAUUUGAAAAUGUAAUACAUUUUUUUCUUGCUCAUUUAAUAUUGUUAUUUGUUGCAAACUUGAGUAUAAUAUUUUAUGUUUAUUUUUUAGUUACAUUCUUAAUAAAUCUAAUAUUUUGUAUGACCUUUCAUUUUUAGUCACAUUUCAUAUGGAAAUUAUUUAGCCCAAUAUGUUUUUAAACUAUUACUCACAUGUUAAAAAGGUAAUAGUUCAUAAUAAUUAAAAAAGGUAAUAGUACACAUGUUCUUUAGUAGUGAGAUUUUUUGUGUAAAAUGAAUAAUUAUCUGUUUAGGUAAAUUAAUUGGUCCCCGUUAUUUAUGCGUCAUGUAUGACACAUUUGCCACACAUGCAUAGGUGUAGACAUAUGAAUACUUAUAAACAACUCUUGUUUGAAGGGAUAAUUACUUAUUCCAAAAGAUAUUAUUACAUUUUUUUUGGGUAGAUUAAACUUUCAUUAACAUAGAACUUCUUCUACGAAUUUUGGACAUAAUACAAAAAUAUUAUUAUAAGUAAACAAAAAAGAAAAAAUAAUGUGAAAGACCAUAAUAAAAAUACUUACAUUUAAUGUUAUAGUAUCAUAUAUGGUAGUUCAACUUUUUCAGACAUGGAAUUUGUAAAUCGUGUAUUGCUGGUGAGUAUAUGAAUUGAUUUUGACGUUCAAAAAUAUUUUUUUGAGUUUUGUACAUGCAUAGUUUUAUUUAUUGUCAAUUAAUUUUAUUUAAUUACCCAUCCUUUAUAUUCUUGUGCAAAGUAUAGGCAGUCACACUAAAUUCAACCAAUAGCUUACAUUUUCAUCACAUGGAAAUUUAAUUUCCUAUCUCAAUUAUUCUAAGAUAAAUGUCUUGCUUUAAAUAUUCAAAAAUUAAUCAUAAUAAGAAGUUGAUAUAAUUAUGUAAGAUCUCACACAAUAUCUAUUAUCUAUCGAUAUAUAUAUAUAUAAUGCACUAUCAAAUAGUGUUUAAUACUUAGGGCUAGUCUUGAUAUUUUAUAGGCCAUCCACAAAGAAAAAGUGGGAGACUUCCUUUAUUAUAAAAAAAAUAUGUGAAAUUUAUAUGUCAAUACUUAAACUAAAAUAAGAUAUUAAAGCAAAUCAUGUUCAAAAAAUAAGUUCAUAAAAUGACAACAUAUAAUAUAUUUAAACAAUGAAAAUUCACCUAUGAAAAUUGUCAUAAAAUGAGAAUAUAUAAUAUAUUUUCUUUUUAUUAUUUAUUUGUUAUUGUUACUGUUGUAAGACAUGAGCCUACUAUAUAUUUUUAAUUAUUAGGCACAUUCUCAAUGGAUCUCAUAUUUUUUACACUAAGGGCAGACCUAAUUUUAAUUCUACCUCUCAAAUAUGAUAGCAUAAUAUAAGGAUUACUACAAUUAAUUAAAUAUAAUAUAUGUAAUUUAAUAAUUAAUAAAAGGAAGAAUUCACAUGUUCUGGAGUAUUGAUAUUUUUGUGUAAAAUAAAAAACAUGAAAGUACAAAAUAUAUGUGAAGGUAAAAAAAUUGUCCCAUGUUAAUAUUUGUACUCAUUCUGAACGAUAUUAGUAUUGAUAUUUUUACUCACUUUAAACUAUAUUAGUUUCUUAUCUAUAAGAUGAUGUAAUACCUUAUUUAAAAAAAAGAUAUAUUCUAUAAUAGAAACAAAAGAUGAAUUUAUAUUAAUUAAUACUUUAUAUUUUCAACAAAUUAAAAUUUGUCAUCUAACUCAUUAUAUAUAUAUAUAUAUAUAUAUAUAUAAUAUUGCUUGAUUUUGUAGCUGUAGUACUCUUCCAAUAAUGUUAAACUUUUUAUUUGAAUUUUUGACUUAAUGUUAAAUAUUAUUAUGAGUAAAUAAAAAACAAUAAAUAAUUAUCAAGGACCAUAAAAAAUAAGAAAAAUUACUUACAUUUAAUGCCUUGAAACAUAUAUGGAAAUCUAAUUUUUUACACAAACAAUUUGUAAUUUUUUUAAGGCUGGGUGAAAUACAUAACUAUGAAUGAGUACAUAAAUUGAUUUUGACUUUCAAUAAUACUUUGUAUAGAUUUCUAAAUUUUUCAUUUUGUUUAUUUAUGGUCAAUUGAUAUUAUCUGUUUACAUACAUGUCCUUUAGUAUCUACUACAAAAUAUUUGGCCAAUAAACAAUUAUAUCAUAAAUUGAUUCAUGUGACUAGUAGAGGAAUUGUGCCCUUAUAAAUAUAUUUGUGUAUUUAUUUUAAGUCCCUUUAAUGAAUGCCAUUAGGAGUCCAGACAUUCAUCAUGAAAUUAAAUAACUGAAAAUUUAUAUGGGAACGUGCGGGAUUGAAUAUAAUAUUUAUAUUAAAUGCAUGUCUUAUUUAAUAUUUUCUAGUGACAAAUUUUUAGUUUUGAAUAUUUACUUAGUUCUAUAAAGAUAUUUUGCACAUUUGUGUUAUAUUUUAUUUUGCUAAAUAAAACAAGUAUUGUCCAUGAAUACAAUAUUCUUUGUAUUUGAGGUGACUACGACAAGCGAUAAUAAUUUCAUACAAAAUAUAUUUAAUGUUGAUACAUUUAUAGGAAGUUUCUGAUUUGGAUUAAUGGUAGAAGUAGCAAGUCUGCAAUGAUAUAUUCUAACAUGGUUUCAAAUCCAUGUGAUUGCCUUAUAAAGUUGUUUUAAACCACUUAAUUUUUUUUCACAACCAUGUUUUUUUAAUAUUAGUCUUGUAAAUUCUUGUAAUUCUAUACCUUUGGUACUCUCAUUUGAAUAAUAUGUUUGCUUUAUUGGUCUAUCUUCUAACAUAACUAAACAUGAAAAUGAGUAAUGAAUUUGAAUGUGAAGCUUCUGGACCAUUACUGAAGAGUUUGCUGUGAAUAGUAAAAUGUGUAUAACUAUGCUUGAUAUUGUUUGUUACUAAGAAGGCGUGAGAAUGAAAGUUGAGUGAUUAUGAAAAAUAUAUACUAUCUAUAUGAACUUGUAUUAUAUUAGCACUGUUGAAUUUGUUUGAAUCAUAUUUUACUAAGUGAUUGUGAUACAUGGAUAGGAUCAAACCAAUUGUUUGUUUAAACCCACUUGGCCAAACACUAACCAGAUUUUAUGAUUAUCCCUUGAUAAGCCCCUUUAAGCCAUUAAUGUUCAUUGAUUGAAACCUUAUGCUAGAUUAAAAAUCUAUCUAGUCUACUUCUAGUGGGAUAAGAGAGUUAAGUGUUACAUUGAGUUAAAUUCUAAGUUGGGGAGAGGAAAAUGUAUCUAUGAAAAAAGUGGGAAAUAAGUAUUGUAGUACACCAUUCAUCCCAUGAAAAACAAGAAAAGAAAUACUCCACACAAAGGAGAGGGAAAAAAAAUCAAAGGAUGAAUGGUGGCUAAAUGAAAUGAAAAGAAGAAAAGAGAAAUACAAAUAAAUGAUUUGUACUACAAGUAGAUCUUUCGCUUAUGCUUUUAUCGCUUCGGCUUAUGAUUCCAUCAUUCCAAGAUUCAACAAUAAAUUAUCAUAAUCCAAUUCCAUUUUUCUUCAUCAGCCUUUAGCAUGAGACGAGCGUAGAUAUCAAUGGUGACAAGAAAGGAACAUCUGAAUCUUUAGCAUGAGAGGAGCAUAUUAAGAAUGCAACUAUGACUGCUAAAGCAAUAAGAGUUUCUGACAUAAUCAGUGGCGGAAUACACCUAGAAGGGGGGGUUGAAUAGGUGUGGCGGAACUCAAUUCCCACUUUUCUGGUUUUUACACACUUUCUGAAAAAAUGCCCAGUUAAUCGAUUAAAAACUAGACGUAAUCGAUUAACCAGUAACAGAAACAGAAUGAUCAAAACAACAACUUGCACGGUUAUUAACAAACACACAAACAAAUAUACAACAGAUACUUUUGUGCAAGAUUAACAAGGACAUAGCAAGGAAAAAGUAUGCAAAAUAUUAGCUCCAAACACGCAUUAAAACAUCUUCAAAUAUNNNNNNNNNNNNNNNNNNNNNNNNNNNNNNNNNNNNNNNNNNNNNNNNNNNNNNNNNNNNNNNNNNNNNNNNNNNNNNNNNNNNNNNNNNNNNNNNNNNNGAUUUUAUCCUGGUUCGUUUUGUGGUCCACUGCAAAACUACAUCCAGUCCUCCCCUCUGAUUUGGGAGAUUUUCCUUCUUCACUAUGAAACACAAUGUACGUUACAUACACGCUUCCAAAUACAAAACUGGAAUGCUCCCUUCUUGGAACCGAAAGAACUACGUUACCCUUGGUUUGACCUUUUCCAAAACCGCCUCCCAAGAAAACCUUUCUUAUGCGAUUCGGCCCCAGCCAAGGUAUCGCUCAUUAUCCCAAGACCUCCAAGUCUUUGUGUGAAGAACACCUUACCUAACCAAAGCUAGGAUUUUCCCAAUCCUUUAAUAACAAUGCUUUGAGGUAUGAAAGAGUACUUAAUACUCGAAUAUUACAAUGAAAACCAAAGCCUAAAAACCUAAGCAAGAACUCAGAAGACUUCCAAGUCUAAUGUGAAUGCACAUGCAUGAGGUUUCUGAAAAUAUGCAAUCUUUAAAGAACUAUCUUUCUCUUUUCAAGAAACAAAAGAAUAAUGCAAGAAAGCUUUUGAAAGAAACAUGCAAGAUGAAUGUGAAAGCUAAAGCCUUAGCAUGAUCUAAUCUUUCUCCUAAUUCAACACUUUCUAAUAGAUUCUAAUAAUGAAGAUCUAUAUCUAUUCUCUUGUGUUUUUCACUCUUCUUUUUCCUCUUCUUCUUAGUUUGCCGUUUAUGCAAUUAAGCCAGUAUUUAUAGAAAACAGAUUUUGGNNNNNNNNNNNNNNNNNNNNNNNNNNNNNNNNNNNNNNNNNNNNNNNNNNNNNNNNNNNNNNNNNNNNNNNNNNNNNNNNNNNNNNNNNNNNNNNNNNNNUUAGAAAUACUCCACAAAAAGGGGAGUGAAAAAAAAUCAAAGGAUGAAUGGUGGAAAAAUGAAAUGAAAAGAAGAAAAGAGAAAUACAAAUAAAUGAUUUAUACUACAAGUGGAUCUUUCGCUUAUGCUUUUAUCGCUUCGGCUUAUGAUUCCAUCAUUCCAAGAUUCAACAAUGAAUUAUCAUCAUUCAAUUCCAUUUUUCUUCAUCAGCAUUUAGCAUGAGAGGAGCAUAGAUAUCAAUGGUGACAAUAAAGGAACAUCUGAAUCUUUAGCAUGAGAGGAGCAUAUUAAGAAUGCAUCUAUGAGUGCUAAAGCAAUAAGAGUUUUUGACAUAAAAUCUUCCAUUGGAGAGAGGAAGAAUGAAUGGAGAAUUAGAGAGAGUUAGUGAAUUUGUGGUUGUUGUCACAGAGAUAGAUACACCUAUAACUUGGAGCUCAAAGAAGCAGUCAGUUGUGGCCCUAUCAACUUGUGAAGUAGAAUAUAUUGCAACAUCCUCAACUACUUGCCAAGAAUUUUGGCUAUCAUCUUUGCUUUGUGAAAUGAAUAUACUUAAUGUAGAGAACAUGGAAUUGCUGGUUGAUAGUAAAUCAACAAUAGACUUGGCCAAAAAUCUAGAAUCCUAUGCUAGGAGUAAACAUAUUGAUACUAAGUAUCAUUUCCUUAGAGACCAAGUAAGAAAAGGUUGAGAUUGAUAAAAAAUUUCAUUAACUUAGAUUCAACUAAAGCAUUGCAACACUGAUUUUUAGGUGGCUGACAUUUUAACUAAGCCGCUAAAGGUUGACAGAUUCAAGAGAUUGAGAGACUUGUUGAAUGUGACUUGUUUGUAAUGGGUUUUGAAUCAAGGAAGGGUGUUAGAAAUGAUUCAAAACUUGGAGAGUUAGUUAGUCAGUUUUAGAGUUUUCUGUUUUUAGAACUCUAGUUGUAAUACUCGCUAUAAAUAGAAAUUUUACUCCUUAGUUGAAUCAUUGAGAAAUAUACAACAAACAUUAUUUAGUAUAUACAAUUUACUCUCUGAUAUACUCUUCUAUACACUAUAUGCAUUUUCUUUCUUUCUUUCUUCUUGUCUCUACACACGAUUUCACUCUGCAAAUUUUCUUUCUCUAGUUUCUUUCAACAUUCUUCAUUCUUCCAACAUGUUCAUGUACUGGUUCAGUAGGGUAUCAGAAGGAAAAGCUUGUCAUUGGUGCAAGGUUUGAAGAUAGAGUUCACCUAUACCAUGAUUCUUAAGGACGUCAAGAAUGAGUACAAAAAAAAGAAACCUCUUGAUCGAACAAGGUAGACAGACAACCUCAUAAACCAAACAAGAAGGGUAGUCUAUAAGCCCUAUCAGGCUAGAGACCAAAAAGACCGAGCAACAAAAAGAAGUGUUCUAUCAAUGACAAGACAACAUGGGGCCCACCCUACUACCCCUAUGUUGUGCCACAUGCAUAAAACUGUCACCUCUGAUUGAAUAACCUAGACCUUUGUUAUAUGUUGCAUGCUACCUAUGCCCUACUGUUCCUAUCAACAACAAUUCACUAUGCCAUAGCUGAUAAAUGUAAGGCAUAAGAGAAAUAACAGUGCUUAUUGAAGCAAGUGACGUUAAAGAUGUUAUCUUUAACAACGCUUAUUUAAGAAAACGCUGUUAAAGGUCAUACUUCAUAUAUUUAACAACACUUCUUCAGUGAGGCAGUUAAAAGUGUUAUCUUUAACAGUGCUUACUGAAGCAAACGCUGUUAAAGAUCACACAUUCAUAUAUUUAACAUCACUUCUUCAGUGAGCGCUGUAUUGUUGAACGUGUUAUCUUUAACAAUGCUUAUUGAAGAAAGUGAUGUUAAAGGUCAUACUUCAUAUAUUUAACAACACUUCUUCAGUGAGGCAGUUAAAAGUGUUAUCUUUAACAGUGCUUACUGAAGCAAACGCUGUUAAAGAUCACACAUUCAUAUAUUUAACAUCACUUCUUCAGUGAGCGCUGUAUUGUUGAAUGUGUUAUCUUUAACAAUGCUUAUUGAAGAAAGUGAUGUUAAAGGUCAUACUUCAUAUAUUUAACAANNNNNNNNNNNNNNNNNNNNNNNNNNNNNNNNNNNNNNNNNNNNNNNNNNNNNNNNNNNNNNNNNNNNNNNNNNNNNNNNNNNNNNNNNNNNNNNNNNNNUAAAGUUAUGCAACUAUGGUGUUCUAGGUUUUUUGCUGUAGUUCACUAGUUUAGAAAACAUAGUUUGAGUAUAAUGGUAAAUGUUCUUUCUCAAUUGCUGCUAAUUUUUUAUUUUUUAGAGCUUUUGAAAUUUUUUUAGAGAUGCCAUUUUUUAUUUGUAUUUGCUGCUUGCAAUAAUCAUUGAGGAACACAUGAACACUCAGUAAGGACUUGCACAUUGGAGGAGAAAGAAUGAACAAAAUUUGCGUAAGAUCUCAAUACUCAUAUGUUAUUUUAUAAUAUUGGAAUCUGACAAGGUUGAAUGUAGCUGAAGUCGUUGGUGAUAUAAUAAAUCUGUUGUAAAUGUGGUGGAGUUGGACAUGCUUGUCAUGUAUUGGAUAGAAUGUUUGGAAGAUAUAUUGUCUUAUUUAGAAAGUAGACAUUUAACAACGCUUGCUUCAGUGAGCGCUGCUAAAUGUCUACUUUCUACAACGCUUCAAAAAAUAAUGUUAAAUAUAACCUUAUGUACUAUUGCGCUAACAUAGAAAGCGUCUAAAAAACGUUGUUAAAUGACAAUUUUAAGUGUUGUAGUUUUUCUAUUCCAGCGUAGUGAUUAUAUCUCUCAAAAUCAGACAAGAUAGACUAAUGACAUAGUGAUACAUGCCAAUACGAGCAAAAGACAACCGUCCACGAAGUAUAUAUCUUCCAAAGCUACCUGACAUGGGAAAAGCAAUUUUUGUUUGUCCAGGAUAGACCCAACAUACCUUUUUAUCGAUCAAACCAACCUCAUCUACAAUGGAACUCAAAUUGUAGCCGAAACCUUCCUUAAGCGGGUUGUGGCGUGCAGGCCGGAUAAUACUAGAAAAUAUUUAUUUAAAUUUUAACAUAUUUAAUCUAUUUAAUAUAUAUAUAUAUAUCAUUUGAUAUUAAUGUAUAACUUUUCUAACACACUUGUUAUGCCCAAUGCAAUCAAACUUAAUCUAAUAUCUUGAUGUCUUGUGUUUGAGUUAAGACGUGAUGUCAAGUCCACAUAUAUGAUUUUUAACAUAACACAUACUAAAUCUCUCAUUUCUAUUAGACUAUGACUCCCUAACACAAUAUAAUUUGUAACUUCACUUUAAUAUAUAUACAUUUGGAUACUAUCAAAAUAUUAUCGCUUCGGUUUAUAGUAAUGGUAAUAUAGACACAAGUUUAGAAUGAACUUUAUUUGUCAAAAUAUAAUAACCAUCGCUUUAUUUGAUCGUUAUUCUUUAAUUUCUAUAGGAUGAUCUUUGUAUGUUAUUUAUUAAUACUUUUAUUGUGAACUAUUAUGUUAAAUUUGCUUGUGUGCAGUUCUCAAUGGUAAACAAUUAUGUUGUCUUUUAGUUUAGUUGUAAAAAAACUAUUUUCUUUAUUAUAUUUUUGUUGUAGAAGUUAAAUCUAAUUAAAUACAUAAUUAAGAAAUGAAAAGUGAAAUCUACAUGGUUUAAUGUCUUAUUAAUUUAUUUGAUAUACUAUUUUGUAUUACCUUUCAUUUUUAGUCACAUUUCAUAUGGAAAUCCUUUAGGGCAAUAUGUUUUCAAACUAUUACUCACAUUCUUAAUAAAUUAAUACUUUGAAAUGCAAUAAUUCAUAAUAAUUAAUAAAGUUAAUAGUGCACAUGUUCUUUAGUAGUGAUAUAUUUUGUCUAAAAAAAAUAAUUAUCUGUUUAGGUAAAACAAUUGGUCGCCGUUAUUUAUGCGUCAUGUAUGACACAUUUGUCACACAUGCAUAGGUCUAGACAUAUUAAUACUUAUAAACAACUCUCUUUUUUUUAAGCAAGGGGCUUAGCCCAUAAUAUAUUAAUAAGCUGUAAACAUACAAGAUUAGUUUAUAAACCUAUAGGAAGGUAAUUGAAGACUAUUCCUAUACAAAUAAGGAAGCACUAAAGAAGGUGGAUGAGACCACCAAGUAUAGCAAUUUUGAUCUAUGCCCAAGUUUGCCAAGGAAUCAGCACAUUGGUUUCCCUCCCUAUAGAUGUGUGUUAUCCAACAAUCCAUUGAAGACAUGAGGAUCUUACAGGACCUCCAAGUUGACAUUAACUUCCAAGGGAUAACCAUAGUACCUAGGAAAAUUUUUGUGACCAACAAUGAGUCACAUUCUAACCAAAUUGUGUGCCAUCCCAUGCUGUGAGCCUUUUGAAUUGCUAAAAAGGCCGAGGAAAGCUCAGCAUAGAGAGCAUCAUGUAUGCCAAAAUAGGUAGAGAAAGCACCCAUGAAUAAACCAUCAUGAUCCUUGAAAAUUCCUCCCCCUCCAGCAUGACCCGGGUGACCUCUAGCAGCUCCAUCAGUAUUGAUUUUCACCCUUCCAAAGGGAGGCAACUUCCAAUUGACUUCCAAGAUUCUAGGAGAUUUCCUAUAGUUGACCUGCACUUUUAGAGACCUGAUGAUUGAGGAAUCAAGCAGAGAGGAGCUUGCUAUUGCCGAGGAAGAAUUACCAGCCAGAGUGAGGGAACUCUUGAUUCUGUUGAUAGCUUGAGGCAAAAGUAAGUUUUUGUCCUGAAACCUGCUCAAGUUUCUGCAGUGCCAAAUUGUGUUAACAGCAAGCACCACUGCAGCAGUGAUGAGGAAUUGCACUUGAGCACUUCUUUUGGCAGCAAGGAGUAGAUUAGCAGCAGAAGAUGUGUCAAUUGUGAUUUGGAAUUGGUGAUUCAACCACUCCCAGAUUGCAGUAGCAAAGGAACAUGAGAGAAAUAGGUGCUGAGAUGAUUCAACUUGGACAUGACAAAGAUUGCAUUUAGAAGCUAAAAUGCAGCCUCUAGCUUGUAAGUUCUCAUCUGAGGGCAUUCUGUUGUUUAUAAGCCUCCAAAGGGUGAAGGAUUUUGAGGGAGGAAUGAAGCUAGACCAUAUGAGCUUGCACCACUGCCUUGAAUCAGUAGAUGGCAUGAUGCUCUUGUAGGCAUCCUUUAGAGAUAGAUUACCAUCAAUAGAAUCUUUCCAGAAGAUUCUAUCUUUAUAAUUUGAUAGCUUUGUGCUGCAAAUACUAGAAGCAACUUCUGGAUACUUGUCAAACAACUCCUGAGGAAUGGUCCAGGCANNNNNNNNNNNNNNNNNNNNNNNNNNNNNNNNNNNNNNNNNNNNNNNNNNNNNNNNNNNNNNNNNNNNNNNNNNNNNNNNNNNNNNNNNNNNNNNNNNNNUGUGCCUUAGCAAAUUCAUAGAUUUAGCCACUUGUCUGAUUUUGGUAAUUCUGUGAAAGAAGGCAGUGUUUCUAUCACCCUGAGUUUGCCAGUUGAUUCUAGACUUUUCUGUCCAAAACUCUUCUUCCAUUCCAAGCACCUUCAGAAGGUUUCUUUGGGCUAUGACUUCCUCAUCAAGCAACAUUUGCAUAUCCUCAUGGUUAUGCUGCAAGUCAUUGAUACAAGUUUGGAUGGUUUCAACUUCCAUCAUUGCAUCUUUCAUUCUUUGGUGUAUGUUGCCGAAGACCUCUCUAUUCCAGACUUUAAGAGCUGAUUUUAAUCUUCUCAAUUUCGAAGAUAAAACAUACAUAGGACAACCAAGCACCACUCCAUUCCAAGAUGCCUCAAUUAUGGAUCUGCAAUUGGAAUGCUGGAUCCACAUAGAUUGGAAUCUGAAAGAGAAUGCUGCAUCCACAUAGACUGGAAUCUAAAAGAGGUAACUCUAUCAAUACUGUAAGAGCUACAAUUAAGGAGGAUUGGAUUGUGAUCAGAGGAGACUCUAGGUAAAGUGCAACAAGAAACCUGGUUCCAAGCAUUGAGCCAACCCUCAUUACAAAUUGCUCUAUCCAACCUCUUUUCAGUAAGGGCAUCCCCCCUUCUUUUGUUAGACCAAGUGAAGUCAGAGCCUCUGGUGCUAAGAUGGAUUAAAUUCUCUCUAUCAGAAAACUCCUUGAAGUCAAUAAUAGGGAUUCUAGCUGGAAUUGUAGAACCUAUAUGCUCAUGAGAACCCAUGAUGGCAUUAAAAUCACCAACAAAACACCAGGGGCCAGUAAAAGAGGAUAGCAGGAUGUGCAAGUCAUCCCAAAGCUUCCUUCUAACCAAGUAGUUGGUGUUAGCAUAUAUAGCAGCAAAAUUGAAAUUGAUGUUGUUAAGAGUCAUAGAGACUGAGAUGAGUUGGUCAGUGCAACCAAAGACUAUAGGAUCAACAUUUUUAUUGCAUAGACCCCAUAAGCUAGGAAGCAGGUCUUGUCUUUUAUUAACUAUAAAUAACUUGAGAUUCAUUUGAGACCAAUAGGAAGGAUGAAUCUCAUUGAAAUCCACCUUUGGCUCAGCAAUAAAUAGAAGGUCUGGUUUGUUUGCCAGGACCAAAUUUUUUAGCACCAAUCUAGUAUUGAGGUUGCCAAUUCCCCUGCAGUUCCAGAAUAUGGUAUUCAUUUAGAUGUGUGUAGGUAUCCACCCCUUCGGGUAUAAUGAACCUUGCCCUGACCACUCCUUCUCUUUUGUUUCCUUUUUUGAGACUUGGAUACCACCUCAGUGAAGACNNNNNNNNNNNNNNNNNNNNNNNNNNNNNNNNNNNNNNNNNNNNNNNNNNNNNNNNNNNNNNNNNNNNNNNNNNNNNNNNNNNNNNNNNNNNNNNNNNNNAGGAAUCCUGGUCUUAGAUUCCAGGAACCAGUGGCACACACUGAUCUCAUAUCUUCCAAGGAGGAGAAUGAGAACUCGUAAAAACCUUUUCCUAGGGAGACCAUAUACCAUUGCCCUAUAGAGUUCCAGAGAGUUGUGAGCUUGGCUUUCAGAUCCACAUACUUUAAUGGAUUGUCACCCUUUGAAAGAAUAAUCCUACCGUGCAGGUGGUUUUUACACCUUUGGAGACCUGCUUGAUAGUCCUCCUCUGGUAUUUUGAUUGCUAUAGCAUCUCCCUUAAGGCAGGGUUGAGGGAGUUGAGAGACUGAGAUGUUACAAGAGUUUUUGACAGCUUGAGCAAAGGUCUUCCUCGUGGGGGACAGUGGGGCUUGUGGCUUAGCUGUGCAUUGAGAAUCAGCAAGAAAAGACCAUGGGACAAAAUUUCCAACUGGCAUUUUGUAGAAGAAGCAGAUCCAGGGACCAAGAAAGCUGGAGAGAGCUCCCAGAAACUAGGAGAUGAGUUCCAAGAAUGUUGGAGCUUUGGUUUUCAUGAGCAGAGCCCUAGCCGCUCUAAUGCCAAUAUAAACAACUCUUGUUUGAAGGGAUAAUCACUUAUUGCAAAAGAUAUUAUUACAUUUUUUUUUGGGUAGAUUAAACUUUCAUUAAUAUAAAACUUCUUCUAUGAAUUUUGGACAUAAUACGAAAAUAUUAUUACUAGUAAACAAAAAAGAAUAAAUAAUAUCAAAGACCAUAAUAAAAAUACUUACAUUUAAUGUUGUAGUAUCAUAUAUGGUAGUUCAACUUUUUCAGACAAGGAAUUUGUAUAUUGUGUAUUGCUGAUAAGUAUAUUAAUUGAUUUUGACUUUCAAAAAUAUUUUUUUAGUUUUGUACAUGCAUAGUUUUAUUUAUUUAUUGUCAAUUAAUUUUAUUUAAUUACCCAUCCUUUAUAUUCUUGUGCAAAGUAUAGGCAGUCACACUAAAUUCAACCAAUAGCUUACAUUUUCAUCACAUGGAAAUUUAAUUUCCUAUCUUACUUAUUCUAAGAUAAAUGUCUUGCUUUAAAUAGUCAAAAAUUAAUUAUAAUAAGAAGUGGAUAUAAUUAUGUAAGAUCUCACAGAAUAUCUAUUUAUCUAUCCAUAUAUAAUGCACUAUCAAAUGUUAGUGUUUAAUAUUCAGGGCUAGUCUUGAUAUUUUAUAGGCCAUCAACAAAGAAAAAGUGGGAGAUUUCAUUUAUUAUAAAAAAAUAUGUGAAAUUUAUAUGUCAAAAGCUUAAUCGAAAAUAAGAUAUUAAAGCAAAUCAUGUUAAAAAAAUAAGUACAUAAAAUGAGAACAUAUAAUAUAUUUCAAUAAUCAAAAUUCACCUAUGAAAAUUGUCCUAAAAUGAGAACAUAUAAUAUAUUUUCUUUUUCUUANNNNNNNNNNNNNNNNNNNNNNNNNNNNNNNNNNNNNNNNNNNNNNNNNNNNNNNNNNNNNNNNNNNNNNNNNNNNNNNNNNNNNNNNNNNNNNNNNNNNUCCAAUGUUAAUAUUUUUACUCAUUCUUAACGAUAUUAGUAUUGAUAUUUUGACCCACUUUGAAUUAUAUUAGUUUCUUAUCUACAAGAUGAUGUAAUAUCUUAUUUAGCAAAAAAGAUACAUUCUAUAAUAGAAACAAAAGGUGAAUUUAUAUUAAUUAAUACUUUAUAGUUUCAAUAAAUUAAAAUUUGUUUUUUAUCUUUAAAAUUUGUCAUUCAACUCAUCUAAAAAUAAAUAUGGUGCUAUUAAUAGUCAAAUAUUUAUUCUAAAAUAAUAGCCAUCAAAUAUAAAUAUAUAUAUAUAUAUAAUAUUGCUUGGUUUUGAAGCUGUAGUACUCUUCCAAUAAUGUUAAACUUUUUAUUUGAAUUUUUGACUUAAUGUUAAAUAUUAUUAUGAGUAAAUAAAAAACAAUAAAUAAUUAUCAAGGACCAUAAAAAAUAAUAAAAAUUACUUACAUUUAAUGCGGUGAAUCAUACAUGGAAGUCUAAUUUUUUACACAAACAAUUUGUAAAUUGGAACUAUUAAUGAGUACAUAAAUUGAUUUUGACUUUCAAAAAUAUUCUGUAUAGAUUUCUAAAUUUUUAAUUUUAUUAGUUUAUGGUCAAUUAAUAUUAUCUGUUUACCUACAUGUCCUUUAGAUUCUACUACAAAAUAUUUGGCCAAUAAACAAUUAUAUCAAAAAUUGAUUCAAGUGACUAGUAGAAGAAUUGUGCCCAUUAUAAAUAUAUUUGUGUAUUUAUUUAUUAUUUAUUUUAAAUCCCUUUAAUGAAUGCCAUUAGGAGUCAAGACAUUCAUCAUGAAAUUAAAUAACUGGAUUUUUAUAUGGGAACGUGCGGGAUUAAAUAUAAUAUUUAUAUUAAAUGCACGUCUUAGUAACAAAUUUUUACUUUUGAAUAUUUACUUAGUUCUAUAAAGAUAUUUUGCACAUUUGUGUUAUAUUUUAUUUUGGUAAAUAAAACAAGUAUUGUCCAUGAAUGCAAUAUUCUUUGUAUUUGAGGUGACUACGACAAGCGAUAAUAACUCCAUACAAAAUACAUUCAAUGUUGAUAUAUUUAUAGGAAGUCUUUGAUUUGGAUUAAUGGUAGAAGUAGCUAGUCUGUAAUGAUUGUUAGGUAUCAGUGGCGGAAUACAUCUAGAAUGGGAGUUGAAUAGGUGUGACAUAACUAAAUUUCCACUUUUCUGGUUUUUACGCACUUGCUGAAAAAUGCCCAGUUAAUCGAUUAACAACUGGUCUUAAUCGAUUACCCAGUAACAGAAACAGAAUGAUCAAAACAACAACUUGCACGGUUAUUAACAAACACACAAACAGAUAUACANNNNNNNNNNNNNNNNNNNNNNNNNNNNNNNNNNNNNNNNNNNNNNNNNNNNNNNNNNNNNNNNNNNNNNNNNNNNNNNNNNNNNNNNNNNNNNNNNNNNACCACCUAAGCAAGAACUCACAAGACGUCCUAGUCUAAUAUGAAUGUUCAUGCAUGAGGUUUAUGAAAAUACGCAAUCUUUAAAGAACUAUCUUUUCCUUUUCAAGAAACACAAGAAUAAUGCAAGAAAGCUUUUGAAAGAAUCAUGCAAUAUGAAUAUGAAAACUAACGCUUUAGCCUGAUCUAAUCUUUAUCCUCAAAAUUCAUCUAUAGUGAAUCAAACUCAAGUUUGUUAGAAUAAGUUUAGAACAAAUAUUUGGAGCAAUAUUUUUAUUAUAGAAACACAUAAUUUAUAUAUAUAUAUAUAUAAAUUUUAAAAUAUAUAUUAAAAAGGUAACCUAUACCUAUGGUGGCAUCCUCAAGUGAGCCUGAGAAGUCACGUUUCAUGUUGAACCUAUUAGAGCCAUAACGAUCCCUUGGUGGUGCCUUAAAAAGGAAGGGUCCUAGCUUUGGAAAUUUACCAUUUUCAUGCCUUUCUUCUUCUUCUUCUUCUUCAUCAUCAUGAACCUUUUCUUCAUCAUCUUUGAUGUACAAAGACUUGAAAUUCUCCAAGAGAAAAUGAUCAAUAUCCGUUAGUGUGGUUUCAACAUCUUUAUCAUUAUUUUUCUUAUCAUCCAUGGAGAAAGAAGAAGCCUUAGGACUAAUGUCAUCAUUGACAAAAGAAGAGGUCCUUCUAUGCUUUCUAACCGAGAGAAACCUUUGCUUAGAGGGUAUGUGGACUUUUGAUCUAGGAAUUUAUAUCUUGGAGAGGUAGUUUUGAAGGGACUUUCGAAUCUUCUUAGGCAUAUUUUGAUGUUUUGCCCUACUUGUUAUUCUAAUGGUAGUUUGAGAUAAAACUUAUAUAUAAAUAUAAGGUGUGGAGUGUGGUGUAUAAAUAAACAUAAAUAAGGAAAAUAAGCACCUAAUUUAUGCCUUCAAAGUGCAUUUAGGGUAAGGAUAUAAUUUGGUAUAAAGAAUGCACUACUUUGGUUAAGAAUCACGUCGCUUACAAAAUCCCAAUUUUAAAUUAAGAAUUUGAUUCAAAGGAUACGAUAUUCUAGACUUUUACUAACACCAUGAUUUUUACUAGUUGUGACAUAUUUGGAGAGUAAAUAUGAAAUUUUGUUUUCCCUAUUGGUGAGAUUUGAGAGUAAAUAUGUCUCAAAUAUCUCACUUUAUGUCAUUACUAAUGAGAUAGAGGAAUUUUUAUUUCGAUAAAUGGCAAGAAAAUUUAUAUGCAUUUAAUUGUGUUUACUUAGGAACUGAUGCGUAAAAAUUAAACACCCGCAAAAAGGAGAAUAAACUUACAAGUUAACUAAAAAAACUUACAAGGUAACUUUAAUGGAUUAUUUAAAAGUUUAUAUAUUAUUAGAGGAAAGCACGCUUCUUUACAAUCUCAACAUUUAUUGUGGAAUUUAUAUAUAUCAAUAGGAAAAAAACUUAAAAUUAAUGGAAUAUUUUACGUUAUUUAAAUAUCAUCUAUCAAAAUUUGAUCUGAGCAACAAGUUGGAUUUGAUGUGUCAACUGUUGUUGCACUAACAAAUGUUUAUUUAUAGUUGAUGUAAUAUUGUUUUACGUUAUAUAUUAACUAUAUUUUGUAGUGGUAUUUUAUGUGAUUUUGUGGUAGACUUUUACUAUCACAUAACAGGUACAAGUUUGAAGUGAUUUUGGAACAAUACAACUCAUACAUCUUGAAUUUAUUCGAUAUAUUAAUUUUGUAAUAAAAUGAAAUUCACCUUUUCAAAAAUUUUAUUUGUAAAUUUAGAAAGAAAUCAGUUUAACUAGUCAUUUUUUUUAUUUUCCAUUAUAUAUAUGCGUGCUUCUAUAAUUUUUUACUUCUUUAUGCAAUAUAUAUUUAUUGUGAAAAUUUGUGGAGAUACUCUAAUUGAAAGCCCAUAUUCCAUAGUGAUAAAGGUGUUAAACCAACCCCACUCUCCUCUGCAUACACAAUAUACCAAGCAGCCAUCAAAAUAGAAACAAUAUGCACACUAAGUCCAAUAGCAGAAAAACAGAGGAAAAAUGAAAUGAAGAUAUGUUUGAGAGAAAUGUGUAUUAUCAAGAAUAAUGAAGAAGAAUGAAUCAAGUUGUAUUGAAAAUGUAUUGAGUAUCAAUUACAACAAUCAUUACAUCUUUGAAAUACUAAAUGCUAUUUAUAGCUUCCAAAUUCUAACUAACUCUAACUAACUUUCUAUGCUAGGAAAAUAUACAAACUAACAGACUGAAAUAACUCAAACUUCUACUAGUGGAAGUUUCCUUAUUUUCCGUUAUUCCCAAACUACUACUAAACUUCUAAUGGUGGAAGUCUCUUCAUUUUCUAUUAUUAAUGCUAAAAUUACAUUAUUUCUAACAAUCCUCCUUAAUUCAACAUUCAUAACCCAUUUCUUACACGUGUCUUCUUUCUCAAACCUUUCAAAGGUUUUAUGAAAAUAUCAACCAAUUCCUCUUUACCUUAGUCUCAAAUUCUGGUGGUUGUGUACAAACACCUCUUUGUCUAGAGGUCCAUUCAAAAAUGCAGAUUUCAUAUCAAUUUGAUGGAUCUCCUAACACUUGAAACUAGCUAUAACAAUCACCAAUCUCACUGUCUCAAGUCUAGCCACUAGAGCAAAUACCUCAUCAUAAUCAAGAUCUUGCUUUUGUAGGAAUCCCUUUACCACUAGCCUGACUUUGUGCUUGGAAACCUCACCAUUAGGAUUCAACUUGGUCUUGAAUACCACUUAACAAAUAUAGCUUUCUUUCCUCUUGGCAAUUCAGUUAGACUCCAAAUAUUGUUUCUUUUUAUAGACCUCAGUUCUUCCUCCAUUGCCUCAACCCAAUGUGUUUGAUUCAAAGUAUCUUCCACAUCUACUAGUUCCAUCUCAGGAAGCAAUGCCAUAUGCAUAAAAUCACCAUCUACAUUGAUUGUUGAGUCAGAGAACACCUCAUAAUCACUUAGUCUUGAAGGUGGUUGUCUGAGUCUCUGAGUUGUUGGAGGAUUCACCAUUGUACUAGGCAAAACAACUGGAUUAGAUGCUAUAGUCUCACCAAUAUCACUUUCAUCAGCUUCUUCAAAUUGCAAUAGAGUCUCUUGACCUUUAUUAGAACUUUUAAGGUUCCAACUGUCCUUCACAAUUGUUGUUUGAAGGUAGUUUUGUUCACUGAUAUGUAUGCUAAUCUUGAAGGUUCUGUUGGCUGAAAGUGGAGCCUUCAAGAUUUUGUGUUCGUUUUUGUCUAACACCUUCAUUAUACCAUCCUUCAUCUCCAUGGAAUAUCCCUUUUCCAGCAGCUGUCCAAAACUGAACAUAUUGCUCUUCAUCUUAGGUACAUAUAAGACAUUUGAGAUGUAGGCUUUCUUCCCAUCUCUUCUUUGGAUCAUCACCUUGCCAAUUCCUUCUGUAGUGACUAUGUUAUGGUCAACAAUCUUAAUCUUGCUCUUUGUUGAUUUAUCAAGUGUUGUGAACCAAUCCUUCUUGCCUGUCAUAUGAUUUGAACAUCUAGUGUCAAGGUACCAGAAGUCACCAUUUUCAUCACUCCCAAUAGCCAUAAGCAAGUAUUGAUCAUCAUCAUCAUCAUCUGAUCUUUCAUUUUGUGCCAAUCUUGCUUCUUCAUCUUUGCUACCCAACAACUUUUUUGACUUUCAUUUUGCUGCAUAAUGUUCAUAUUCUCGGCAAUUAUAGCACUGAACCCUCUUCUUAUCAAACCUCGUUCUAUUUAUUGAGUCUCUUCUUUGUUCAUGCUCAAUGUUGUUUGUGUUGUUUGGUCUUUAAGAUGAUGAACCUUGCUCAAAUUUGUUCAACUUCUCCUUCUUAUUAUUCUUAUUCCACUAUCGAGAAGACUUCUUGAAAGAUUGUGCUUGGAUUACAUGAUCAUCAUUAUUCUCUAGGCCUCUCUCUUUAAGCAACUCUUCAAUAUUGUAAUCUUCAAGAUUCUUCGACUCCUAUAUUGCAACAACAAUAUGGUCAUACUUUGGAGUUAGAGUCCUAAGUAUCUUCUCAAUAACAGAUUGCCCUUUCACAUCUUCUCUACACGAUUUCAUUUGGUUGAAGAGUGUGAGAAUCUUGGUGAAGUAAUCUACUAUUGUCUGAUUCUCCUCCAUUUGAAGGAGUACAUACUUUCUCCUUAUUGUUUGAAGUUUCACUUUCUUCAUUUUUGCAACCCCUUCAUAGCUUUUCUCCAAGCUAUCAAAGCUUCCUUUGCUGUCUUGGCACCAACAAUUCUCUCAAAGUUGGCUCCAUCAACACAUUGAUGGAUUAAGAACAAAGCUUUGCAACCAUUCUUCUUGGACUCUCUGUAACUUAUCCUUUAAGCCUCAUUUGCAUUCUCCCCAACUUCUUAGUAUUCACUCUGAACAAUCUCAGACACUUCUUGAAAUCCAAAGAUUGUCUUCAUUUAGAUUCUCCGUCUAUCAUAAUUCUUGGAUUCAAGAAUUGGUAGUGUCAUUGUAAACCCAUUACCAUUUGCCAUGAUAGCUCCAAGAUCUUGCAAUCUUCUUUCCUUGUUGUCCCACUAUAUAUUCUUUUCUUUCCACUUCGAAUCACAGCCCAAGAUCCACCAAGAAUCUUGCUUCAACCUUUGCUCUGAUACCACUAUUAAACCAAGACUACUCUCCUUUCAUGCACAAUGCACCAAGUAGUCAACAAAAGAGAAACAAUAUACACACUAAGUGCAGUAGCAGAAAAAACAGAGGAAAAAUGAAAGAAAAAUAUGUUUGAGAGAAAUGUGUAUUAUCAAGAAUAAUGAAGAAGAAUGAAUUAAGUUGUAUUGAAAAUGUAUUAAGUAUCAAUUGCAACAACCAUUACAUCUUUAAAAUGUUAAGUGCUAUUUAUAGCUUCCAAAUUCCAACUAACUUUCUAUGCUAGGAAAAUAUACAAACUAGUAGACUAAAAUAACCCAAACUUCUACUGAUGAAAUUUUUCUCAUUUUCUAUUAUUCUUAAACUACUACUAAACUUCUACGUGUAGAAAUCUCCUCAUUUUCUGUUAUUAAUUCUGAAAUUAUAUUAUUUCUAACAAAAGAAUAUUACUUAUGAUCAAAUAAUAUAUAUGCCUAACAUUAUACUAAAUUUAGUAUUUGGUUGAAAAUGAAAUAAUUGUUAUUAGACAUUUCAAAUAUGUUUCAAAAAUAGGUUUAUUGAAGAAAAAAUUCUAUUCAAGUGAAAACAAAGGUUUCCAAACAUUAUUGUCUUAAAUUAGUAGCAUUUAACAAUAGACUUUUAUUUUAUUUUUGUAUAUAUCUUUAAUUUUGUACGUAAAUAGAACAAAAGACUAAUUCAAGUAGAGCACUUUUAGUAUUGACAAUUUGGAUUUAGCUUACACUCUUUUUGACCAGCAACUAAAUUUAUUGAUAAAUAAAAUAAUAAACUAGGAGAACAAGUGAUAUAUUCCUAUCCACAAAUACCAAAACUAACAAGCUGAAAGGCAAAUAGAUAGAUUCAACACUGAUUUCAAAUAAGAAAUUUUUUUAUAAGCAAAUGUAUUAGAAACAAGGGGUGCCAACCCAUUCCAAAUAAGUAUAGUUGAAAGUUUUUACAACGAGCACCCGAAAAUAUUCCAAGAGUGUAAGAAAAUAAGUUCUAACACCUCAUCAAGAUUGAACCUCAAGCUCUCCAAAACAAUAUUGUUCCUCUCAUGCCAAAUGAUAAUCUGAAGGGACAACCACAUUUGUUUUCUCUUUUUCUCCAACCAAGACAUGUUCAAAUGAAUAGAGAAGUUUACCAUAGCAUCAUUAGACAAAAUUGAGGAAAAACCAAACCAUUAGUAGAUUUUUUUUUUAAGCAAUGGUGCUAGAGCACCCAAGAUUUAUAAAGAGAAGGAACAAAGAACCAUUACAAGUUUGUAAACCUAUAGGAAGGAAGCCCCAACCAAACUCUAUUACAAUCCCAGAAAGUUAUCAAAGGGAUAGAAUUCCACCAAGUAAAAGUCCGAGACCUUAAACUAUGGUUAGCAAGCAAAUCAUCACAUGAAUUACCCUCCCUGAAAAUAUGCGAAACCUUCCAAGACAUAGAAGAUAAUAAGGAUUGGCAAAUACUCCACCUAGAUGCAAGACUCCAAGGAGGUUGUAUAUUUCCUAUGAGAAUGUCCACCACUAGAGUUGAAUCACUUUCAAUCCAUAAGUGAUGCCAUCCUUUGGCAUGAGCAAGCUCCACUGCCAGAAUAACCGAAAGAAGCUCCGCAUAUAUAGCAUGUUGUAUGUCAUAGAAAGCAGCAAAACAAGCAACAAAUUUACCAAGGUGAUCUCUGAAUAUUCCACCUCCUCCCGCCAACCCAGGGCUGUCCUGGCCAGCACCAUCCGUGUUAACCUUAAGCCAACCUAUGAUGGGAGGAUGCCAAAUUUUCUCCCUGAUCUUUGGAGAAUUCUUGAACCUCAAGUUGAUAUUUAGACUUCUCAAAAUGGCAAACGCAGUAGGAUUGUUGUUUGCAAAACAAUUAGAUUAAUUAGCAGCAAAACUAAUAUCCUGCUUUAGCUUGUCCAGAGCUCUAGCCACUGGGACUUUAGUAUCAUUAAACCUUGUUUUGUUUCUGCAAAACCAGAUUGAAGCCAUAAUUGAGAAAAUGUUAUUUGUGUUAAUUGAGAAAACUCAGUAGGACAUGUUUGUGUUAAUUGAGAAAAUGUUAUUCAACCAAAGCCAUAUUUACUUGGCAAAGUCACAGUGAAGGAAAAUGUGAUUGGAUGUCUCAAUGCUAUGAUUGCAAAGACUGCACAUGGACACUAAACUGCAUCCUCUUCUCUGGAGAUUUUCGUCCGUGGGGAUUUUGUUGUGCCACCAUCUCCAAGCUAUGAAGGAUUUAGAAGGAGGGGUUUUAGUUGACCAAAUUUCCUUGAACCAAUUCACUGGACUAGCAUGGGGGAAUAUACUGUUGUGGGCCUCUUUUAGUGACAAAUUGCCAUCAGAUGAGCCAUGCCAAACCAUUCUAUCCUCAAUAUUAGGAAUUAGAGUCCUGGAGAUUGCUCUGGAGACAUUCGGGAACAGCUCAACCAAUUGAGAAGGAAUUGUCCAUUUACCUUGGUGAAUGAAGUCUGCCACAUAGGCUUACAGAUUGGAUCUAAGUUCCUCAGGAAUGUUCAAAAGAUCCACCAGAGAAGAUCCAAGCCAGUUGUCAGUCCAGAAUUUUAUUUUGGUUCCAUUUCCAACAAGCCAACCUGAGUUGAGAUGGACAUAGGACCAGUUAGCCUUGAUUCCUGGCCAAAUUGAAGACUUGUAGUAUCUAGAGGAGAUUAUGCAAUCCCUUCCAAACCUCUGUCUAAAGAAAAUAGCCCAGUCUUUGCAAGAAGAGAGCAUGGUCCAUGAGAGUUUAAUUAGGGAAGCUUUGUUCAUCUUGGAUAUUGACAUGACUCCCAAGCCACCAACCUGAAAUGGAGAGCAGACUUGAUGCCAAUUGACGGUGAUUAGUUUUUUGACUUCAGUAUUCCCAGCCCAGAUGAAGUUUCUGAUCUUUUUGUCUAGGUCUCUAAGAAGUUGAGCAGGCCAAACAUAUAUGUGAAAAUAAUAAACUCACAUGCUCUGAAUGACGGAUUUGACUAACUCCACUCUGCCCAUGAUUGAGAGGCAUGAGCCUUUCCAAGUUGCCAAUUUCUGAGUAAUUCUGUCCACAAUUGGUUGCAGGUGGACCUUUUUGGGCUUUCCUUUGAAAACAGGGACACCAAGGUAUGUGAAAGGCAGAGAUCCAGCAUUGAAACCAAGGAGGGAAGAGAGGUUCAAAACUUUCCUAGGAUUUGAGUUUGCAGUGAAAAACUGACUUUUGGAGGCAUUUAUGAUCUGGCCAGAAGCAAGAGCAUAAUCAGAUAGCAGAAGUUUGAGAUUUCUGAGCUCUCUUUUCACUCCCUUGCAGAAGAUGAGCACAUCAUCUGCAUAUAGCACAUGGCUCAUAGUUUGCAGAGAUGAAGGACCACUAAUUAUGCUCAGAUUGCCAAGAGCCACAAGCUUUAGGAUUCCCCUGCUCAGGACCUCCUCAGCAAUACAGAACAGCAGGGGGGAUAGAGGGCCCCCUGCCUAACCCCUCUCUUGCAAGCAAAGUAACCCACAUUGUGACCAUUAACACUUAUGGAUAGCCUUGCUGAGUGAAGAAUUACCUUAAUCUAAGCAAUAAAUUUCUGAUCAAAACCAAAGGCCCUGAGUGUGUCCAGCAGAAAAUCCCAAUCAAUUGUGUUAAAGGCCUUAGAAAUGUCCAGCUUUAUGAUUAGAUUGCCACCAAAAGUCUUGUAAUCCAGCAAAUUAGUUGCUUCAGAAGCUAAACAAAUGCAGUCUUGGAUGUUUCUAUCUCUUAUGAAGCCCUUUUGAUUCUGAGAGACAAUUCUAGUGGCAAUGUAGGCAAGCCUAUCAGCCAGAAUCUUAGUAAUAAUUUUGAAUUGAAAAUUAGCUAAGGCAAUUGGCCUGAAAUCAAGAAUUCUGUCAGCACCAAGGCAUUUAGGAAUUAGGACAAUAGUGUUGGCAUUCAUGUUUGCAAGAAUCCACCCAUGAGAGAAGAAUUGGGACACUGAAAGGCAAACAUCAUGCCCAACUAUAUCCCAGAAAGUUUGGAAGAAGCAUCCCCCAAAUCCAUCAGGCCCUGGUGCCCCCUCACCAUUCAUAUCAAACACUACCUUCUUGAUCUCCUCUGUGGAAGGCAUGAAAGUUAACCUUGCAUUUUCCUCUUGAGAAACCAUAUUAGGAAUUACCUCCUGGAUGAGGGAAUUCUGUCUAGUAGAAUUUUCAGAAGCAAAAAGCUUCUGAAAGUGGUCCAACACAUGAUUUCCUAUCUCCUCUUGCUCUGUUAGCAAUCUAUUACCAUCCUUUAACAUAGUCAUAGACUUGGUGGCCUGCCUUAUUUUGGUGACUCUAUGGAAAAAAGCUGUAUUUCUAUCCCCAUUAAGUUGCCAAUUUAUCCUAGCUUUUUCUUUCCAAAAAGACACCUCCACAUCAAGAGCAAUCAUGAGCUUGUUUUGGGCUAAAGUUUCUUGAUCCCUCCAAUCCUGGCUAGGCAUGAUAGUCCUGGAAUUUUGAAUUAGCUCCAACUCUGCCAUAGCAGUUUUGACAUUCAGAUGUAUGUUGCCAAAAACAUUUUUGUUCCAAAGCUUAAGCUCUUUCUUAAGAUUCUUGAGCUUCUGAGUAAGAAUAUACAUAGGGCACCCAUAGCAAGGCCUAUUCCAGAUAUUUUCCACCACCCUUUUACAAUCCUCAUGCUUGGUCCACAUUUUAUGAAACCUAAAAGUAGAAGCUCUCCUUUCAGAAGGGAUAGAAGUGAACAGAAUAGGAUGAUGAUCAGAGGCUAUUCUAGGCAAAGUGCAACAAGAUGUUUGAGUCCAAGUGUUUAGCCAUUCCUCAUUACACAAACUUCUGUCUAGCCUUUUUUUAGUUAGAGCAGCCCCAGAUCUCCUAUUAGACCAAGUGAACAAAGAUCCUCUUGUGGCUAGGUGGAUCAACUUAGAGUAAUCAGUGAAAGUUUUGAAUUCAGUAGAGGGCAAGGCAUGAGGCACACGAGGGCCUCUGGCCUCAUUGGCACCAAGCACCAAAUUGAAAUCUCCUAUGCAAGUCCAAGGCCCAUCAUUUGCAAUUAUCUGAGCAUUCAAAUCAUACUAGAGAGCUCUUCUCUGAACAUAAUUAGUAUGAGCAUACACUGCACUAAUGUAGCAACUUUUAUCAGCUAUUGAAACUGAGAUAUUAAUGUGCUGAGAAGAAUUAUGCAAAACUGUAGGAGAGUGAUCAUGGCUGCAUAAGCCCCAUAGAUUGGGCAUCAUAUUACCCCUAUUAUUGAUGACAAAUAGAUUCAUCCUAAUUUCAUUCCAAAAGGUAUCCAGAAUUACCUCCUUAGCUAUCAUAGGCUCAGCAAUAAACAAGAAAUCUGGUUUAUGAGUUAAGCAAAGAUUUUUAAGGACUAACCUAGUGUUGAGGUUUCCAAGACCUCUACAAUUCUAGUAGAGAAUUAUCAUUGGACAGUUUUGGAGUGCCCACCCCUACGGGUAUAUUGAGUCCUCUCCGAGAUUCCUUUCUUUCUAAGCUUUUUCUUUUGAGAUUUUGACAGGAUAUGAGUGAAUUGUUCCUCUUCCUCUUCCUCCUCUAUAUUGUCAUCUGCCCAAAGCCUGCCAACUAGCUGCAUAUCCUUGGCUGCAUAUCCUUGGCUGCAUUUAUAUUGCCCAAUUCCUGUGUAUCAAGCACUAUGAAAUUGUCUUUAAUAUUCUGUGGCACUGAUGGAUCAAAUGAGCCCUCCAAACUUGCCAUAUUUGGUGUCUCUUGCCCUGCCUCCUUUUCAGGUGUGUUUUCAACUCUUUCUAUCCCUUCCCAACUAGCCUCCUCUCUAUUGUCUAUCUCCAAAUUGAUUACUAGGUCAUCAAUUUUCCUGAUUGUUGGAACCUCCUCCUCCUCUUUAUUUUCCUUAUGGCCUGAUUCCUCAACUUUCUUUCUAGGGGCAUUCUCAUCCACCUUCUUUUUAUUCACUCUACGACAAUUGCUCUGUAGAUGACCAAUAUUGUUGCAGAUAGUACAAUAGGAAGGGACAUUUUCGUAUUCAAUCCCAACAAAGAAAGGAAAACCCUCUCUCUCCACCAAGACUUGAUCAUGUAAAUCCUCUUUGAUGUUUAUCUCCACCAACACUCGAGCAUAAUGUCCAAAUGAUCUCUUGGAUGUAGCAUCAUCCAAUGAUAUGGGAGUGCCUAGUCCCCCUGCAAUGGAAAAUAGAAUCCUUGGGCUCCAGUAUUCCUGUGGCAACCCGAAUAUUUUGACCCAGCAUUGAGAGUGUGAUUGUCUUUGAUGAUUUGGAUUGAAAUCUGGUGUCCAUAGGGACAUCCUAAGGAACCCUGGUUUUAGAGACCAAGCCCCUACUGCACAGAUGCUUCUCAUAUCCUCCACCGAUGAGAAUGAGAAGUCGUAGUAACCCUUGCCCAGAGACACCAUGGUCCAUGAGCCUAUCACCCACAUCUUCUGAAGUUUGUUUUUCAGAUCUACAUACUUCAGAGGGCUAUCCCCCUUUGCUAGGAUUAGCCUCCCAUGAAGGUGAUUUCUACACCUCUGCAAACCCGCCUGAUAAUCUUCCUCUGGAAUUUUUAUCGCGAUUGCAUCCCCUUUGAUGCAGGGUUGCGGAAGUUGGGAGAUGGCAAUGUCACAUGAGUUCUGGAGAACUUGUGCAAAGGACUUCUUAAGAGAAGAGGGUGGAAGAGGUUUAGGAGACGUGGUUGUUUCAGAAAGGAAGCUCCAAGGAACAAAAGUUUCCAUGAUUAAGCAAGAAGAUGGUUUCCCAGAAAGUUGGAGAUGAUCAAAAUCCCAUAUUCUUGGAGCAUGCCCUAGCAGAGCAUCAGGGUCAUCUUUUAUUACAAUGAUCUAGAUAUUUUGCCAAACAUAUUCUUGGAGCAUGCCCUAGAUAUUUUGCCAAACAUGAUAGGACUUGGAAAAUGUGAAAAGAGGUGGUUUAUUGCUUCCUCCUCCUCCCCACAAAGAGCACAACACAAUACUACUUGUGUGCCUAAGACACCCCUUUGAGCAAGGCACAACUUUGUUGGUACUCCAUCCAUGAAAUUUUUUACAUUAAACAUUUGAUUUUUGUUGGGACAUUGCAUUUCUACACCUUGUUGAAAUCCACAUUGAUACAAUUUCUGUCAUCAUGAGACAACACCUUAUAAAAUAUAUACAAAAUGCAAAAAGUAAAUAUAUUAAUAGUACUAAUGAAGGUUAUUUUAUAAAAUAUAUACCGUAUUUAUAUUGUUUGUAAUUGGUUGAAAAUGUAUUUAAAUUAGAAAUAUAAUUAAUUAUUUUUCUGACCAAUUAUAAGUAGUGACACAUGAAGUAUCUAAUCAUUUCGAAGAUAAGAUGUCAUCGCCUUGUAUUCAUUCCUGUUUUAUGCUAGUUCAUGAAAGCUCUAUUUGUAACAAUUAGUUGGAAAACUAGCUGAAAAUUGAGAAGUUUGCUGAAAAAUGAAAAAUGAUGACGUGAUUGUUGAGUAAAAGUAGCUUAUAUAUGUGAUAGUUUAUGCCUUUAUGGGCGAGAAACUAGUUGAAGACUUUAGGAUUGUAGCUAAAAUAUUAUAUAUGCAUAAGUAGCUUAUUUGAAUACAACAAUUUAACAAAACUACAUGAAAUUUGUUAAAUAACAAAAUGACAUCUAAUAUUGUGUUUAUUUAUUAUUAUUUUUUGUUUACUUACUUACUACCUAAUUAAUUAUACAACAAUUAAAUAAAAGGUAAGGUUUUUUUUAUGGAUAUAUAUUGUUAUUUAGUAAAACAUAAAAGGUCAUGAUGAAAUAUAAUUAUUGAAUUUCCUUAUAUGGAUUUUGGAUAACUAUUGCUUCCGAAUUUAACUUUCAAAAGUUAUAAUCUUUAAUUUUACUAACUUGUGGACUACAACAACAAAUUACAAUAUGUCUAAUAAGCUAUAAACAAUAGCAUAUUGUCAAGCAUUAUCUAAUGUGUUAAACUUUUGGUAUGAGACAUCAAAAAGACUUCUUGAUGGAUUAAGAAGUACGGAAGAAUGUAUGAAUGAGAAACUAAAAACUUGAAGAAAGAAAAAGAAUAGAAAUUUUAUUUCUCAUAUUAAAUGAAUCUCAACAAUGCUUUAACAUCCCCGCAAGCUAGAAUGUAACAUGUCUUCCAAACUUGAAAAUGAUUGUGUUGAACACAAUGAUAUACUCUAAUAUCUCCUCUUGUUGGUGAGUGAAUCUUCAUCUCUCAGUCUUAAAAUCAUAAUGCGAAUCAACAACAACACUUAACCACCAUAGGCAGAAGCAAUUUCAUCCAAAGCUUAAUCAUCUAUCUUGACAGAAGCUUAACCAACCAUAAUGGAUGAAAGGGAGAAAAUAAAAUGAACCUUAAUCUUGAUCUGAAUAUGUUGCUUCAAAGAAGAAGAAUUACAUACUUUAACAAUGUUGUGUAUUUAAUGAGAGAGGUAAAGAAAAUAGAAUAGUAAAGAAAAAAACGAUAAUUUUGGGAAAUGAUAAGGAAUAAUAAAAUGUUGCGAUUUAGAAGCUCCUUGAUGAACAUAAUGCUAUUCUUGAUGAUAUUUUCUGAAAGAUUGAAAAAGAACUCCAAGCUAUAGAAGCAGCAAACAUGCAUGUCAUUUUAGAAAGUGAACCUUUGAUAGAUAAGGUUUUGCAAGAGCUUAAAGUGGCAACACAUUGUGAGGAAGAUGUGAGUGAAUGGUUAGGCAUGACUCAACCUAUCAUUUCAAAGUCUGGAACACAAGUAUGGACUCAUAAUAUAUCACAUUAGAAUUCCAAAAGUAAGAGCCUUACACCUAAGGCAAUAAUACACCUUAGAUAUUAAUAUUGUUGAAGAAGCCUAGGCUUGUGAUCUUGUGACCAAGUCCCUCUUGGAUUUCUCAGUCACCAUAGAAGACAAUGAUGCACUAUAAUGAUGUUGAUGAAGAAGAUAAUGUUGAAGAUGUUGAGUUGUUUAUCAAUCUUGCAUACUUCUUGCCGAGGUAUAAGACUUGUCCAUGAAUGAUAAAAAAACACAUACACAAUGAAGAAGAGGUGGUGAGAGUACCAAAAUGAAUUGAAGCGAAAAACAUCUUCUUUGGAAUUAAUACAAAUACCACAUCUUCUUGCAAAGAACAUAACCACCAAAAGCAUGAAUUUUGUAGCACAUCACAUGGCGGAAAAGAAGAAUAUAAGCGGAAGUUAUAAAAAAGAAUAAUUAUGCUCUGGUACCAUAUUAAACUUUUGAUAUGAGCUAUGAAAAAGACUUUUUGAUGGAUCAAGAAGUAUGAAAGAAUGCAUGAAUGAGAAAUUGAAAACUUGAAGUAAAAAAAAUAAAGAGAAAGAAUAGAAAUUUUAUUUAUCAUAUUAAAUGAAUCUCAACAAUGCUUUAACAUAAUACUAAUGUUAAAAUCAACUUUGUAUUGUUAAAUCAAUUAACACUGAAGAUUAACCCUUUAUUUUGGUUAAAAAAUAUUAGCUCUAGCUUUUUAAAUAUGUAUUUUUUAAAAUUGAUUUUAGAUAUUUUCUAUAAAUUUCUUCCAAAAUUUUCUAAUUGUACUUAAUAUCUAUAUAAUAUUAGUGUAUAUUGUUUUACACAAUCAAUAUCUUUAUCAUUCAUCAUUCAUGUAUAUUACUACUUUUAUUUAAGAGGAACAUUAACACAACACAUGAUAUGAUAUCUUUACAAUGUAAAAAGAAAAUAUAUAGAGUAUUUUCUCUUUCUAAUUAUAUUAAUUCUGGAAAAAGUAAAUAUAUGAAUAUUAAUAAUGAAGGUCAGUAAAUAUAUAAAAAUAUAGUGUCAUUCUAUCAUUCCCCAUUUAUUGUCAUUCUAUAUAUUUUCUCUUUCUCAUUCUAUAUCCGGAAUAUGAAUAGUAAUAAUGAACUGAUAAUAUAAGAGUUUUAUAUAGUGUCAUUUUAUCAUUUGCCAUUUAUUUUUAAUCCUUAUUGACUAUUAAAAAAUAAUACAAAAUAAAUGAUGAAUGAUGUAUUGACUAUAUAUAAAUAUUUACAUUAAUAAUAUAUAAAUAUUAUAAUUAUUUUUUAUAUAUUUAAUGAAACAAUCUAUAUUAACUAAACUACUUGAUAAGAAUAGUGAAAAUGUUGAUAUAAGAAAGAACUAAUAUUUAAAAUGAGAAUUAAGAUUUUGCAAAAGUCAAUGUUAUGAGUUGUGAAAUGCACAAAGUACUAUAUCCAUCCAUUAGCUCUAUAUGAUAAUGAAUAGAAAUUAACUGUACCAAAAUGUUAUCCUAUCUCAGUUUCAACCAAUUAUAUUUUUUCAAGUUAUUAAAAAAAACCAGUAUUAAAAGUUUAUAAAAUGACUUACCAAAGCAAUGAUUUUUAAUUUUUUGAGUGUAUGCACUGUAGUGCAAAAAUUUAUACAUUGAUAAUAUGUUAUCCACCAUUCAUUUGUAUUAUAUUUGAAGAGUAUUAAAAAUAAAUCAUAAAUUGAUAGUAUAUAAAACUUUUACACUAUUUGUGUAUACAUCAUUUUUUGUUUUUUUACUAACAUGGAUCACAAUUAAUUGGUUUAGAGAGGAGAGAAAAGACAUGCAUGCAUGUUACAAUUCUUUAUCUCUCUUGCUCUCUCCAGCCAUACAUUUCCAUUUUCUUUUAACAGAUUUUUCUUUAAUAAAAAAGUGCAGUUAGUAAAUUUUAGCAACCUAUAUUUUCAUGUGUCUCUUAUGUGCCAAUUAUUUGUUGAAUUGUAGAAUAUAGAAGAAGCCACUAAGUAAAGUAAAAUCGUUAAAAAAAAGAAGAAUCCACUAUGGUCUAUGUUACAUGAAUGAAGGACAUAUUCCUAUCAUCUAGUCUAAUGUUAUUGUAAUGGUGUUGUGGUGGAAAGUAAUAUUUCCUAAAACUUUAUAUCUUCAAUACAUUAAAACUUGUUAUCUCACUCAUAUACAUCUCAACUUUUGGGUUAUGAAAUGCACACCAUACUAUAUGUAGAUGGAAAGUAGCUUAUAUAUGUGAUAAUUUAUGCCUUAAUGGGUGAGAAACUAGUUGAAGACUUUCGGAUUGUAGCUAAAUAUUGUAUAUGCAUAAGUAGCUUAUUUGAAUACAACAAUUUAACAAAACUACAUGAAAUUUGUUAAAUAACAAAAUGACAUCUAAUAUUAUGUUUAUUUAUUGUUAUUUUUUGUUUCCUUACUUACUACGUAAUUAAUUAUACAACAAUUAAAUAAAAGGUAAGGUUUUUUAUGAAUAUAUAUUGUUGUUUAGUAAAACAUUAAAAGGUAAUGAUGAAAUAUAAUUACUGAAUUUCCUUAUAUGGAUUUUGAAUAACUACUUUAUUUCUAAUUUAACUUUAAAAAGUUAUAAUCUUUAAUUUUACUAUCUUGUGGACCACAACAAAAAAUUACAAUAUGUCUAAUAAGCUAUAAACAAUAGCGUAUUGUCAAGCAUUAUCUAAUGCUAAAGUUAAAAGCAAUUUUGUAUUGUCAAAUCAAUUAACACUUAAGAUUAACCCUUUAUUUUGGUUAAAUAAUAUUAGCUCUAGCUAGCUUUUUAAAUAUGUACUUUUUUUAAAAUUGAUUUUAGACAUUUUUUAUACAAUUUCUUUCCAAUUUUUUUAAUUGUGCUUAAUAUCUAUGUAAUAUUAUUGUACAUUGUUUAACACAAUCAAUAUAUCUAUCAUUCGUCAUUCAUGUAUAUUAUUAUUUUUUAUUUAAGAGGCACAUUAACACAACACAUUAUAUGAUAUCUUUAUAGUGUAAAAAGAAAAUAUAUAGAGUAUUUUCUCUUUCUAAUUACAUUAAUUAGGAAAAAGUAAAUAUAGGAAUAGUAAUAAUGAAUGUCAUUUUAUAAAAUAUAUUUAAUAUUUGAUGAGAAAAAAAUAUAUGAAACGAGACAAUGUAAGAAUUUUAUACACUGUUAUUCCAUUAUUCACUACUUAUUUUCAAUCCUCAUUGAUUCUUAAAUAAAAGUAAUAUAAAUAAAUAAUGAAUGAUGUAUUGAAUAUAUAUAAAUGUUUACACUAACAAUACGUAAAUAGUCAAAUUAAUAUAUUUAGUGAAACAAACUAUAUUCACUAAACUAUUUAAUUUUGAUAAGAAUAGUCAAAAUGUUGAUAUAAGAAAUAUUAAUAUUUAAAAUGAGAAUUUAGAUUUUGCAAGUCAAUGUUAUGAGUUGUGAAAUGCACAAUGUACUGUAUCCAUCAUUAGCUCUAUAUUAUAAUUAACAGAAAUUAACUGUACCAAAAUGUUAUCCUAUCCCAGUUCCAACCAAUUAUAUUUUUUUAUGUUAAUAAAAAAAAAUCAGUAUUAAAAGUUUGUAAAUAAAUUAGCAAAGCAAUAAUUUCUAAUUUUUUGAGUAUAUGCACUAUAGUGCAACGAUUUAUACAUAGAUAAUAUGUUUUCCACCGUUUAUUUGUAUUAUGUUUGAAAAAUAUUAAAAUGGAAUCAUAAAUGAUAAAUUGACAAUGUAUAAAACUCUUAUAUUGCCUAUGUGUAUAUACCAUUUUCUCUUUUUAACUAACAUGGAUCACAAUUAAUUGGGUUUAGAGAGGAGAGAAAAGACAUGCAUGCAUGUUACAAUUCUUUAUCUUUCUCUUGUGCCUUCCAGCCAUACAUUUCCAUUCUCUUUUAACAGAUUUUUCUUUAAUAAAAAAGUGCAGUUAGGAAUUUUUAGCAACUAUAUUUUCAUGCGUCUCUUAUGUGCCAAUUAUUAGUUGAAUUGUAGAAUUUAGGGGAAGCCAGUAAAGUAAAGUAAAAUUAUUAAAAGAAGAAGAAACCACUUUGGUCUAUAUUAUAUUACAUGAAUGAAGGACAGAUUCCUAUCAUUUAGUCUAGUGUUUUAGUAAUGGUGUUGUGGUGGAAAGUAAUAUUUCCUAAAACUAUAUUUUCAGCACAUUAAAACUUGUUAUCUCACUUACAUUCAUCUCAAUUUUUUGGGUUCUGAAAUGCACACCAUAUUAUAUCUAGAUAGAGAUUAUAUGUUCCUAAUUGUGUCUCAUCUCUUAUUCCGAGCCAAUAAAAAUGUAACAUUUUAUUUAAAAUUUUUUUCUUUUAUUCAUGUAGCAAUAUAUGAUUAAUCCAGGACAUAGAAUAAGAUACUAUUGGAGACAUCCAUCCAUUAAAUAUAUUAUAAUUGUGUUAUGUUUAGGGAAUGCCAUGCAUGGAUGUUACACCUCUUUAUCUCUCUCUAUCAGAAUUACUAAGACAGUGCAUGGAAACAAAAACAUCACCAAGUUCAUGAACACCAACCUUUGUACUGUUUUUGCAUUCGCGAUUCAACUUUUGCUUUUCCCUCCGUUGCCCAUGUUGUUAUAUAAGUGGACAUUUCAUGUUCCACACACUACACAUUUAUUCUAAGAACUCACAAGGAUUUUAAGGAUUUAGUCUUCUCAUGUCUCCAUCAAUGCUGGCUAUUGUUCUCUCCUCACUAGUGUUCGUCGUGCUGGUUUCGGCGGCUCCGACGUCUCUAACGCUGAAAAGAGCGUUCCCUAAUCAUGGAAUGAACUUGAGUCAACUUAGGGCAAUGGACAUGAAAAGGCAUGGUAGAAUCCUACAAGCCAGUGUUGUCAACUUCCCCGUUUAUGGAACCGCAGAUCCUAUUGCAGCUGGGUAAUGAAUUCUGUUUAUGUUGUUUUAGUUUACUUUAAAUUUAUUUUUUUCUUCAUCUUUUAGAAGCAGAUCUAGAUGUUUCAUCUUCUGCAUCAUCAUUAAUUGCAACAUAAGGAGUAAUUGCAACAGGUCUCAUCAUUUGAGAAAAAUUCUUCAUAAAAAUAUUCGCAGUACCACUCUUGUGAAUACUACUAGGAUCCCUAGCUAUGACAAUACAUGACCCUAAUAAGUUUGUUAUUCACUGGAGUAAAAUUCAACGCAUCCAAUGCUAUUAUAGCAUCCUGAGAGUUACUGUGUUAACAUAACCAUAACUUAGUGAUGGAUGCAUGGUGGUUAAGCCACGACACACCCUAACUAGCAUAACAAUGUGUGGUAUAAUAGGAGGGCAGAAAGAGGGAAGGGGACCACGUGUCCUCAUUUCAUUCACUGUCCCGAGUUAAUCAUAUAUUAAUACAAGGAUAAAAUAAAAUUUUUGAAAGCAAAAACUUUUUGAGGUUAAAUCAUAGUCUAUAUCCUUUGUAACCAAUAGGAUAGUAAACAAAGAUAGUGGUAGUGGCUCUAAGAGAAAACUUAUUUAUCUUGGAAGGCAAUGUUCAUAUAUAAGCAAGAUAACCAAAUAUAUUUAGAGAUGAAUAAAUUGCUUCCUUUUUAAACAAAAUUUGGUAAGGAAAUUACUCCGUCAAAAUUGGGGUUCUAUUUCUAAAAAAAACAUUUUUUUAAAGAAUUAGGGAAAGAUAAUCCAUGAGUAGAAUCUAAAUACCAACAUUAUAAAAAUGUUCAUUGAGCAACAUAAUAAAGUUCAUGCCUUGUUGAGCAUAAUCAAUAAAGGAUCUUGUACUAACAAUAUUUUGGUAUUCUAUCCUUUUUUGAAGAAAGAAAAAUCACUAAUUCUCUUGAGUAAAAUAAGAAGUUGGCAAAAGAAAGAGAUUUGAUAUCAUCAUGGAUCAAUCAAUUUUUUUCUAAACUUUAUUUAAUCAAUGAGUCAAUAGUUCUCUUAUGUACACCAUUUAUGUAAUUGAACCUCAAGCUAAUUUAACUAUAUGAGCAAUUAACCGAUCAUAUGUGAAUACAAUUUAAUAACUCUAAGUAAUAGUUAGCCUCAUUCAUUGAUAUUUUGUGUUCAUAAUUUAUGUUUCCUUUUAUAUUGUUGAUUAAGUUUAUCUCUUAUGUUCACCAAUUAUGUUCAUUAAUCCUUUUAUUAAAUUUGAAAUGCAUGAUUUAUUGCAGACUUUAUUACACAUCUGUUCAUUUGGGUUCUCCUCCAAGGGAAUUUCAUGUGACAAUUGACACCGGUAGUGAUAUGUCGUGGGUUAAUUGUGUCUCCUGUAAUGGGUGUCCUCAAACAAGCAAUCUCCGGGUAAAUUCAAUUUUUUAUAAUUUGAAAAUUCAAUUCCAUGUAGAGUUUUUAAAUUGGGUUAUCAUAAUGGAUUCAGGCUAGCCUAUAUCGAGCUCAAACUAAAUUAGGAUGAGCUAAAAAGCUCAAUUAGAAUUUAUGUAAAUGAGAUUAUUAUCCAAACCUGUCCUAAACGAGUUGUGGGCUGUGGUGAACUAACCCACAUAAUGUUCUUUAAAAAAACAAUUAUUUUAGAUUAUAAGUUUUUUAAGCCUAUUUUUAAUCAAAGAAAUUUAUUUUAAUUUUAAACCCCUAACUCACGGAGCAGGAAUGCAGAGAACAUUUUUGAAAAAUUAAACUUUUUUUCCCUUGAUUUGCUAGAGUUCAUUAUCUAACCUAUUAGAUAAUAAAAAGGAGAACAUGAAAUACACAUUCAUUCUCUAUCUCAUAUUCCAAUAAAACAAAUAAAAAUCAAAAUGUAGAAUGAAUGGAUAGAUAGUGUGACAUAUAAUAGAGAGUGAAUGAAGACAACACAAAUUACCUAAAAGAAAAUGGAACAAAGAAUGAAAAAAUGAUAAUGGUUGUUUACAUUCGAGCCACAUCUUCUAUUCUAAAUUUUGAAAAUUUCAUCUCCUUUUUGUUUUUUAUUGGUCAGAAAAAUGAAACAAUGAAUGAAAUAUAUAUCAACUUCACAUUUUCUAAUCAAUGUGAAUGAGAGGAUAUAUAUAAAGUGGUAUAUAUCUUAAAAUAGAAGAUAUGUUCAUGUUUAACUACUUACUUUCGAAUAGAUUACAAGAGACACACACUUAAGGGAGAGAAGUGGUAGUGUUUCUCAUAUUAUUUCCAGCUAUUGUAUUAUUUUGUUGCAAAAAAGAGCAUGCGAUUUAGAGUCAAACUAAGUUGUGAAGUGUAGAGUGUAAAAUUAUUCACAAUCCAUAAUCCAUCCAAAUUAAAUUCAUCCGUUAGAACUAAUGACUUUGAAUGAAUAUAAUUCAAUAGAUAGUGUUGAUAAUGGAUGGAUUCAAACCCAUCCAUUAUAUCCAAUGGAUAUCCAUGGGUAUAUCCAUUUGGAUUGAUACCCAAUCCAUCCAAAAAAAUAAAAACAAAAAUGUUUUUUCCCAUAAAGCAACAUGCAGAUCCAACUUUGCUAUACAAUCCAACAUGAAAAGUAUAAACCAAUGUUAUUAAUAUUGUAAUGAUCAUCAAACCGAUCAGAGUAGUAAUAUAUUGGUAUGGUGGUUCAACUAGUAGUUCACUAAUUAAACCGCAUACUAGUGAAGUUAGAUAUACAUAUAUUUUAUACUAAUAUUAAUGUUGAAAAAUCAAUAAAGAAUACAAUAACAAUUUUUAUUUAUACCACUUGUUAAAAAAUGUAUAUUAUAGAUCAUGUUUUAGAUGUAUAACAAUGUUGUAGUUGUGUGUUUGAUCAUCCAUACUAAUAUUUUGGCAUCAAUAAAUAAUUUUCAUUACAAAAGAAUUUUACAUGAAACCAUCUGGUAUGACCAGUACAAUUCAAUUGAAAACUAACCGGUAUGACCAGUUUUUACCGGUAUAAUUGCACGACCAAUAUAAAUGUUGUAUCGUAGCAGUAUUAAGAUUGGUUCACCAGUGUUAAUACAAGUGAUAUAAACUACUUUCUUUCUAACAAAAGGAUUCCUUCAACAUUAUUAUCAUUUUAUUCAAAACAUUUUUUCAAAACGUUUCAAUAAAGAUUGGUAUAACAUUUUUGUGUCAUGAUUGAGCAUAAGAAAAAAUGCAUGAUUGCAUGACUGCUUUAUUAAAUAAUAAUUUUAAAAGGCUUUUUCCUUCAAAAAAUGCUUUAGUUCAAAUUAAAAAAAUUGGAUUAGUUAUUCAUCCAUCCAAUCCAUUAAAAUGGAUAUGGAUGAAAUGAAUGGAUUGGAAUCCAUAUGAAUGGAUUGGAUAGUUUAGAAAUGUGAUUUUAUGGAUUUAUAUGGAUUGGUGAAUGACUUCCAUCAAUCCCUUAUGAUCCAAAUCCAUAUCCAUCCAAUUGCCACCAUUAGUGAUAUUUGCAGCUAGUGAUAUUUUGUUGCAAAAGAUAACAUCAUUUAUAGUAAAACUAAAAAGGAAAAAUAAAUAUACGGGUAGCCCCAGCCUGUCAGGAUAAACCCGGACCGAACUCAGUUUUAUAGUGAUUCGACCGAUUCGGGCGAAAAAGUCCAGUUUUAAGAAAAUGUACCUAAAAAGGUACACAUACUAUAUUAUUUUUCAGGCUUUGACGGACUGGCUCGACCAAUCUGACCCAUUUUGACAGCUCCAAUUACAAGUUUUUAAUUGUAUAACUUGGAUCAUGUCAUCAUUAGUGACUUUUGUUAUAGAUUAAGCUCAAUUAUUUUGACCCUGAGAGUUCAUCAACAUCUUCGGUCAUCCCUUGUUCACACCACAAGUGUGCAAUUUGUUCCACCAACAACCAUUGUAGCUUUAAAGUUCAGUAUGAAGACGGUGGUGAGACAUCAGGCUACAUUAUUUCAGACUUAAUGCAUGUUGCCGAUAUUUCAGAGGGUCUAGUGGCACCAAAUUCAUCUGUGCCAUUAGUUUUUGGGUGAGUUAUCAUAAACCUCAAAUAAUUAAAAUAACAUUCCUAUUUUUUUAGUUGCUUCUCUCUUUCUUCUACGAAAGGUUUAACUUUGAAAACAUUACUUUGUAUGUUGUAUUAUGGAAUAGUUGUAGUAACAUGCGGACUGGGAGAUUGACAUCGUAUGAGAGUGCGCUUGAUGGGAUAUUUGGAUUUGGGAAAGAUGACACGUCUCUCAUCUCUCAGCUUUAUUCACAAGGAAAAGCUUCUAGAGUAUUCUCUCAUUGUCUAAAAGGAGAUACUAGCGGUGGGGGCAUUCUUGUUCUUGGUGAGGUUGUAGAGCCAAACAUGAGUUAUACUCCACUUAUUCCAAAACAGUAAGUGUGUUUUGUCUAGAAUAAAAUGAAAUUUUUUAAUUCCUACAUGUGAUAUCUCAUGUGGUGUUUGUUAAGUGUUAUAUAUGUUGGUCAUCUCUAUUCUUUGGUAAAAUGCACCAUAUCAAAUUAUGAGUUAAUUGUUUUAUGAUUAUCAUUUUGUCUUGUUAUUUUUUUGGUAUUUUUAACCGAAGACAUGUGUGCAUUAUUAUGUCAAAUAAUAUGCAAAAGUUGGAUUAAAUAUGUCACUAUAGAAAUACUAUUUAUACUGAAAUUACUUGAAUGAAAUUUUUUGGAAAAUAUUUACACUAAUAACUUGGAAAAAAUUCCAGACCUCAUUAUAAUUUAAAUCUGGAGAGCAUUUCUGUCAACGGACACACAUUGCAGAUUGAUCCGACAGUCUUUAUAACAUCAAGUACCAAAGGUGUCAUGAUUGAUUCUGGAUCAACUUUGGCGUUCUUUAUCGAAGAGGCCUACAAUUCUAUUAUUGACGCAGUGAGUUUUGCAUAGAUUAUUUUUAUCAUCAAAUUGGUAACGAUAAAUAUUGCUUUGAUUUUUUAUGCGGUCUAUGUGUUUUUAAAAAAUAGUUUGAUGCCAUCCCCCUCCUCCCCUCCCGAGAUUUAUCAAUAAUUAAUGACAAAUAUAUUUUUUGUGUAGAUUAAUAGUAGAAUUCCAAGAUCUAUAGGCACUACUGUUUCUAAUGGAUUUCACUGUUACUUGGUACCCACCAGGUUAAGUUGAAUAUUCAAAUAUAUCUUUGUGAAAUCUUUCAUGCCAUUUUUUAAUUGACUGCAUGUUAAAAAUAGAGGAUUUUCUGACACUUUCUAAACAUUUUUUUUUAUUUUUAGUGUGUUAAGCAUCUUUGACAUCUUUCCUCCAAUAAGUCUGAACUUUGCUAACCAUGCAUCUAUGGUUUUAAGGUCACAAGAUUACCUUAUACACUCUCCAACAGUAAGUAUUUAAGCCUCAACUUUAUGAUAGAAUUAGUUUGUAUUCAUUAUUUGCAAAGACUUUCAUGAUUAAUUGUGGGCAAGACUGAAUGCUUUGAGUAAUUACAUGUCUUUACUCCUCAUAUACAUCAAGUACUAUAUAUAAUUUAUGUAUGUACUAUUUAUUUUCAUGUUAUCUAACUAGUAUGACGAUGCCUUGUGCAUUACAGUUUUAUGGAGGAUUGUGGUGCCUUGGCUUUCACAAAACCCAAGAUAUAACAAUUCUAGGAGGUAUAUUGACACUCUAAACUUUUAGCUCCUAUAUUUAUGUCAUUUUAUUUGGUGAGAUACAUUGAAAGGAUAUGUAAAGUAAGUUUUGCAUAUGAUUGAAGUUCAACUAUUUUUUUUUAAAUUCUUAAAACUUAUUUAGAAUUAAUCUAAAAGUACUAUUCUUGUUUAUUGUGUGAGGUCAUGUUAUCUCUUUUCCAAGAUUAAGACACUGAUGACAAUACACUUUUUCUGCCAGACAUUAUAUUAAAAGACAAAAUUAUUGUGUAUGAUCUUACUAGCCAACAGAUUGGAUGGACUAAUUAUAAUUGUAAGUUUCACCUACAUUACUAUAAAUUUAUAUGAGCUAAGAGUAUCAAGGAUAACUAAAUCAAAUAUUUGGGCUAUCUUUGAUUCUCUAUAACUUAGUUUUGAUAUAUUAAUUUAAAUUAUUGAUUUAGGUUCAUUGCCGGUUAAUGUCUCUGCUCCAUCAUCUGGAAAAGGUAGAAAUGAAAAGGGAGGAGCUUCUUUAUGUGAUAGGCCUGAAAAGUUGACAAUGGUGAUCUUGGCUUUCAUAACACACAUGAUACUAAUAUUGAUAUAGUUAUCAGGGUCUUUAAUUUGGAGGAAGUAUUUCAAUAAUCAUUAAAGUAAAUAAUUGUUAAUACUAUAGAUUAGAUAAUAGUAUUUCAAUAAUUGUAUUUCUAGAAUAUUGUAAUUUGUGUGAUGUUGACUCUUGUAUGAUUAUGAAUGAAGAAAUAAAUGCUAUUUUAUUAGCUUUGUUAUUUGUUCUUAAGGGUAGUUACUAUUAGUCAAUUCUUUGUUGUAUUGUAGAAUGUAUGAGCAACCAAUAAAGUAAAGUAAAAUAGUUCAAAGUAUAGCUCACAACAUAUCUAACACUUAAACCUAUAGGUUAUAAUGACAUCAAGUCUUGAUGAUAAAAGUAGAUACCAUCUACCUAUUUGCAACAAAGUGUAGAUAACAUAACGACACUGAUUUCUUAAGAUACCAAAUAUGCAUAUAACAUAUAAUAAUACGGAUAAUUUCUUAAUCUCAACACACUCCUUUUUCUCUUAGAAAUUAGUUAUCCUUUUUAUACUAAUUGGGUUUAUUCUAUUAUGUGAUGCACCUAAUUUAAUCCUUUUAGAGUUGGCUUCAAAUUAUUCUAUGUAGACUUCCAUGGAAGGAACCCAAUGCACCUCUCACAUCAAAUCAUUGAAGUCUUGUAUGAAUAUGUUGAUGAUCAUAUUGUAAGUGGCAUGCAUGUUUUCUUUGUCACAGUUUUUAUCCCAACAAUUAUGUUAAAUUAAAAUUUGGUUGCAAAUAAAAAAACUCUACAAUAUCAGUGGUCUGAAUUAUAAGUAUUGUCAUUAGUAGAAAUGUAUAACAUUAUUGAUUAUUUUAUGUAACUAAACAAAUCUAAUGAAUGUAAUUUUACAAUUUGCUUAUAAAAUAUAUUGAGGUAUCUAGCAAUAACACGAGAAAUACAAUUUUAUAAUUUGAAAAACAACCUUGUAUAAAUUGAUGUACUUGGAUAUAAUAUUAUAUUGUCUGUGGCUUGUAUAAUUUUUAUUUUAUUUUUUAUAUCUACUCUUUAUCUCUUCCACCCCUUAGUAAUUAUUUUUUCACUAACUAUUUCAUUUAUUAGAAAAUUAGCUAUGAACAUAAAAAAUAUGAUAAAAAAUAUGUUCCAAUGAACAAUUAAAUAGGAGACAUAUUAUGUAUGUGGAUCUUGUAUAAAUAAUAUAUCACAUGAGUAUAUUAACCUUUUUUAAAUUUUAAAUAUUCAUUUUUGAAGAAAAUUGGAACUGCUCCUACGAGUGUGGCAUAUCGUAUCUUUGGUGGAGCAGCCCUAUUUCAUAACUUUACCCUAUACUUUUUACACAUAACCAAAGGCAAGUUUCUUGUCUGAAUUUGUAAUGACUAACAACUUGAAGGAGAUAUUAUAUAGUUUGAAGAAGGAUAAGUACAUAAAAUUCAGCUAUGCAACAAUGUGCAUUUCAAGUAAGGAAAAGACAAUAGUAAGGAAAAGAAGAAGGUAAUAGCAGAAAAAAAAGAUCUCAGCAGAGAAGGAAUCCCUUAUGGCUUAAAAGAUAAUGCCUGAAUUUGAGCAGGGCUUCAGUAAUUACAAAACAAUUCCCUUGCAUAGGCAGAUUGCUGUUGCAUUAUAGGAGAUAAUUUCCUUGAAAAGAAAGCAAUUGGAUGACUUUCUUGACUAAGAACAACCCCAAUUCCUGAACCUGAAGCAUCUGUCUCCAAAAUGAAAGAAAUUUUAAAAUUCGGAGCAUCCAAAACAGGAGCAGUAAUGAGUGUUUUUCUUAACUGACAGAAAGAUGUUGUAGCAGCUUGAGACCACUUGAAGCAAUCUCUUUUGAGUAAAUCAGAAAAAGUAGCAACAAUUUUACCAUAAUUUUUGACAAAUCUUCUAUAAUACACAGUUAAAUCCAAGAAACCUCGAAGUUGUUGCAAUGUGUUGGGUUGAGGCCAUUGUUGAAUAGCUUCCAGUUUACUAUUAUCCAUAACAACUCCCUCACCUGAAAGUGUAUGACCCAAGUAUUCAAUUAUUUGCACACCAAAAGAACACUUAGAUAAUCUAGCAAACAACUUAUGGCUCUGCAAGAUUUCCAAAAUAGAUUCCAAUUUCACAAGAUGAUCUAUCCACGAUGAACUAUAAACUAAGAUAUCAUCGAAGAAAACAAGGACACAUUUCCUCAAAAGGCCUUUGAGAAUUUCAUUCAUAAGACUAUGAAAUGUUGUUGGUGCAUUAGUCAACCUGAAUGACAUAACUAAUCAUUCAUAAUGUCCAUGGUGACUUCUAAAAGUUUUUUGUAGCGAUCUGCAGGGUCCACUAAAAUUUGGUGGUAACCAAAUAUGAGAUCAAGCUUGGAGAAAAAACAUGCCCCAAACAAUUCAUCAAUUAGUUCAUCCACCAUAGGAAUUGGAAAUGAAUAUUUAACAAUAAUGGCAUUAAGCGCUCUAUAAUCAGUAAACACUCUCCAUGACCCAUCCUUCUUUUGAUUAAGAUGAGUGGAGAAGAAAAAAAGGCUCUUGCUUGGUUGAAUAAUGCCCUCUUUUAACAUGCCUUCAACCAAAUGUUCAAUUUCUUCUUUUUGACUAUGGGGAUACUUGUAAGACUCAACCUUAACAAGAUUAGAAACUUCUAGCAAAGGUAUAAAAUGAUCAUGUGAUCUAGGAGGAGGUAGUGAAGUAGGAAUAGAAAGCUAACUCAGACUUGAUAUUGCCAUAUAGAUCCAAAACAGUAAUAGGGAAAGGAGUUUCCUCAAUUAUGUGUAUGCUGAAAAUUUAUGUUAUACCAUCAAUUUGUAUCAUUCUUCUGAGAUGAUGGAGUGUAGCUGGAACAAGAAGUAAAUAUUUAUCACCUCUCAAUGAAGUAAAAUUUCCUUACCAUAAAAAAUUGAGUUGCAAGAAAUCGUAAUCUGCAAUAUGUGCUCCAAUAGUUUUCAACCAGCUUGUACCCAAUAUUAAAUCAACACCAGAAAUUAGAAGCAAAAAUACUAGUAAUUGAAACGAAUUUCCUUGAGCAUGAACUAAGACCUGUUGAACCCUGCCUUCCACAUGCAUAUAGUUUCCAUUUCCUACCAUAACUUUGAACAUAGGAGUUGGUUCUAUAGGUAGUUUCAGAAAGUUAGCCACUCUUGGCUGGAGAAAAUUAUCAGCGCUCCCCCAUCAAUCAGAACAGUAAUAGGCAAUUGAUCAAUGUGAGCCACAAAUCUUAUAGUGCCUACACCCAAACCACCUUUCAGGGCAUUCAAAGAUAAAUGUUGAUCCUUAGCACUAAUAGGUUCCUCAGAAUCAACCAUAGAAUGCUCCUCACAGUCCCUUACUAUAAAAUCAGUAGUAUGCUCAACCAAUUGCAAAAAUAAUAAUUGCCUAUUAGGACACUUAUGAUUAAAAGUGAACUUUUUAUCACAAAAUAACAUAGACCCUUGUCUCUACGAAGUUGCAUUUCAGCAGGGCUAAUUUUUUUAACAUUAGAAAUGCAAAGAGAGGCCCCUUGGGAGUGGGUAAUAAUCCUGGAGUGGAAUUGGUAGUAGUGGAUUUGGGCAAAGAAUGAGUGGAAUUAUAGGUGUGAGAAGCAUGAGUUGUGAUUGGGGAUUAUUUAUGGGUGUAAUAGAAGAACUAGCCUUAGACACAGGUGUGUGACGUUCUUCAAAUAUCCUAGCAAGAGCAACUGUACGUAAUAAGGUAGGAUGGGCCAUUGCGACCACAUCCCCACAGAUUUCCUUUUGAAAACCUCGCACAAAACAAUUUAACACAAUCUCAUCAUUUAAGCCAACAGAUCUGUUAGCUAAGGCCAUGAAUUUAAGAUAAUAUUCAAAAAGAGAAUAUGUUUGUGUCAAUUUAAACAACUCAACCAUAGGAAAAUCAUAAGUAGAAGAGCCAAACUGAGAUUUAAGGGCCCUGGUAAGAUCAAUCUAAGAGGGCACUGUAGAAAUCCAUGGUAACAUUUGAAACCAAAGUACCACAUCCUUAUCAAAAUGCAUUGCAUCAAUAUCAACCUGAGAUGGGUCAGGAGUAUUGUGGUAAUUAAAAAAUUUAUGUGCCUUAAAAAUCCAUUCCAAAACAGGUGUUGUUCCAUCAAAAUGAGGGAAUCUAAGAGAAAUCUGUUUGAUUGGUAAAGAUGGAAUGUCAAGGGAGUCAUUUGUAGAUAAUGAGUUCAAGGGACUUCCACCAUUAUGAGACGUGUUCUGAAGAAUCUGAUGUAAAUCCAGCUGUAUUUGAGCCAUACGCUCAUCAAGCUCAUUAAAUCGAUUGUUCAUGGUCUGGGUCAGACGAUGAAGCUCAUCAGCGUGUCUAGUAACCGUAGCUUUUAAAUCUCGUAGUCUCGUAUUCUCAGCCAUGGAAGCUCAAUGAAAGCAUCAAUGUAAUGACUAACAACUUGAAGGAGAUAUUAUAUAGUUUGAAGAAGGAGAACUUUAUGCAACAAUGUGUAUUUCAAGUAAGAAAAAGACAAUAGUAAGGAAAAGAAGAAGAUAAUAGCAGAAAAGAAAGAGAUCUCAGUAGAGAAGGAAUCCCAUAUUACUCAAUACCCAUUCACUACACAAUCCUUCAAUUUAAUACUCCUUUUCCUGUUACGCAUGCUUUUUCGUGUAGCCUCUAGACCAGGAUCUGCUACCAUGUGUCCAUUCUGCCUAACAUAAUCCUUCAUAGAUUAUUUAAUCAUAAUCGAAUUGCUCACGUCAGCCUUUGCUUCCUUUUCACGUGUUGCAAAAUACCCAUCUGCUCUUGAUCUUUUGAUGGGGCUAUUGUUGAGGUCUUAGGUGCUGGGACUAAAUAGUAUGUUCUUUUAGGAAUGAUUCAAAACUUAGAGAGUUAGUUAGUAAGUUUUAGAGUUUUCAGUUUUUAGAAUUGCAGUUAGUUUUUCUAGUUGUAAUACUUGCUAUAAAUAGCAAUUGUACUCCUUAGUGGAAUAAUUGACAAAUAUACAAGUAUUAUUUAGUAUAUACACUCUACUCUCUCAUAUACUCUUCUAUACACUAACUUCAUUUUCUUUCUCUCUUUAUUCUUGUUUCUACACAUGAUUUCACUCUGCAAAUUUUCUAUCUCAGCUUUCUUUCAACAUUCUUCAUUCUUCCAACAUCUAGUACCAAGAGCAUAUGUGAGAUUAAAGCAAUGAGUUCAAACAGUGCAAAUUUCUCAACAAACCUAUUAGUUCUCAAUGGCAAAAACUAGAACAAGUGGCGUAUACAAACGAAAGCAAACUUGAGUUAUCAAGAAAUGAGUGAACAUAUAGAAGAUGGAUUCUUAGAUCUUCCUGCAAAUCCCACUGAGGCACAAAUGGUGACUUACAAAGAAAUAGGAAGAAAGAUUGCAAGGUUAAGUUCUUACUCCAUCAAUGUGUUGAUGAAGCUCAUUUUUAGAAGAUGGCAGAGUUGUUACUUCACAAGAAGCUUGGAGAAUUCUAUAAAAAUAUAGUGAAGAAGCUGAUCAACUCAAGAAAGUGAGAUUGCAGGUGUCAAUAUGAGUUAAUGCAAAUGGAGAACAACGAAAACGUGGCUAAGUUCUUCAAAAAAAUAGUUACUCACACCAAUGCAAUGAAGGUAUAUGGAGACUAAUCUCAAAUCAGACAAUUGUUGAGAAGAAAAUAAGAACCCUCAAUCCUAAAUUUGACAACAUUCAGGUUGCUAUUGAAGUAUCCAACAAAUUGGAGGAUUUGAAAGUAGAAGAGUUGCAGAGUUCCUUAGAAGCACAUGAGCAGAGGAUAAAUGAAAGAAGGAUAGGGAAGCAUGCUGAAAGUCAAGCUUUGUUAACUCAAGUUUCAAGAAGGAGUAACUACAAUGCAAGAAGAACACAUAAUGGUUGGAAUCAAGGAAGGGAUUCCAGAUUUGGUUCUUACAGAAGUUCACAAUCCCAAGGACAGAUCAAGUGUGAUCAUGAUCAAUUAGACAAUACCAACUUAAAAUGUUAUAACACUUGGAAAGGGGGAAGAAGAUAUUUGACAAGAAAAGAGUCAAAUGCUUCAAGUGCAAUCGAAUUGGACACUAAUCCAAUGAGUGUGUAGCAAUCAACCAAAGUGAUCAUAGAGCAUACAUACUAAACACAAGCCAUCAAGCUAAUAUGGCCAUGGAAGACACAGAAGUAAGCCUUGAAGAACAACCAAUCUUGUUAAUGAUGACUACCAACCAAGAAGUGGAUAGCAAUGAAGUUUUGUACAUAGACUCAGGUUGCUCUAAUCACAUGACAGGUAAUAGAGAAUGGCUUGUGGAAUUUGAUGAAGGAAAGAAGAGUAAGGUGAGGUUUGCAUAUAACAAAUUCAUCAUGGUUGAAGGUACAAGAAAUGUGACGAUUAAAAGAAAUGAUGGAGACAGUGCAAUCAUAUCUAUAUGUCCCUGGUAUGAGGAGCAAUCUAACCAAUUUGGGUCAGCUUACUGAAAGGAGAUUCAAGAUCAAUAUUUCCAAUGGAGCUAUAGAAAUUUCCGAUGUUGUUGAAAAAAGGAUCAUAAAAGUCCCUCUAACUCAAAACAAGACUUUUCAGGUAAGCCUAAACACCAUGGAUAUUGGCUUCUUUUCAACUAUUACCUUAGCUGAUGACUCUUGGGUAUGGAAUCUAAGUCUAGGCCAUUUAAAUUUUAAAGACCUAGGCCUACUUAGUUCAAAGAAUAUGAUCCAUGGACUUCCAUCACUAGUGAACCAAAAGAAAGCUUGUGGUAAUUGCCUAAUCAGUAAGCAACCUAGAAAACCAUUCAACAUCUACACAAUGUCUAAGGCUAGUGAUGUUUUACAUACUAUCUACUCAGAUAUGUGUGGGCCACUUGAUGUUCCAUCACUAGGAGGAAAUAGAUGUUUUGUCCCAUUUGUGGAUGACUUCAGUAGAAAUUUAUGGUUGUAUUUGAUCAAGGCCAAGUGUAAUGCAUUUCCAACCUUCAAAACCUUCAAGAUUUUGGUGGAGAAGUAAUCAGGAAAGUUUAUCAGAACUCUGAGAACUGAUGGUGAGGGAGAGUUUACAUAUGGAGAGUUUGAAUAUUUCUGCAAGGAGCAUGAGAUAGUUAGUGAAGAUACACCCCCUACACUCCCCAACGCAAUGGGAUUGUAGAAAGAAGAAACAAAACUAUACUAAACAUGGUGAGAAGUAUGCUCAAGCAGAAAAAUAUUCCACUAAGCUUCUAGGGUGAAGCGGUCAUGACCGCUGCCCAUAUACUCAACAGGUGCCAAAUAAAGAGGCUAGAUUCCAUGGUUCUAGAGUAAGCUUGGUGUGGAGUCAAGCCAUUAGUCAAGCACUUUAGAUUUUUUGGCUCAUUAUGUUAUAGGCAUAUUCUAGAUCAAAGAAGAAGGAAACUUUACGAUAAAAGUGAGCCUACGAUAUUUGUGGGAUACAAUUCCAGUGGAGCAUACAAACUCUACAGCCCCAAGACGAACCAAGUCCUUUUCAGUAGAGAUGUAUAUUUUGAUGAGUCCAAUUCCUAGUGUGAGGCACAACCUACAACUAGUAUAAUUCCAAGGUUGCACAUAGAAUGGGAUGAAGCUGCUCCAGAAGAGGUGAUCAAUCAUGAGACAAUGAAUAUUGAGAAUCAACACUUGACUGAUGGUAGACAAACAUGAAGUGAAAAUCUCCCAUCUAGAGUUUGUGAUUAUCAAGUCUAAUAUGAUAGUACUAUCACUAAAGAAGGUUAUCUGAUUCAACAUCUAGCUUUAAUAGCUGAUGUUGUACUUAUUGGAAUUGAAGAAGCCAUUUCCAGCAAGGUAUGGAGAAAAGCAAUGGAAGAAGAACUAAAGAGUAUUGAAAAGAACCAUACUUGGGAUAUGGUAGAACUGCCUCAGAACAAGAAACCUAUUCUUGUUAAGUGGGUUUUCAAGGUGAAACGUAGGCCUGGUGGAUAAAUUUCCAAGUACAAAGCUAGGUUGGUGGCCAAAGGGUUUAUGCAAAGAGAGGGAUUGGACUAUUCAAAAGUAUUUGUUCUUAUGGCUAGAAUAGAAACUAUGAGGUUGAUUGUGGCACUUGCUAGCUUGCAAAAAUUGAAGAUGUGGCAAUUGGAUGUAAAAUCAUCAUUCCUGAAUGUACCACUUGAUGAGGAGGUAUUCAUAGCACAGCCUUCUGGCUUUAUAUGCAAAGGACAUGAGCAGUAGGUACUUAGGCUAAAGAAAGCAUUGUAUGACUGGAAGCAAGCACCUAGAGCCUAGAAUAAAAGGAUUAACUCUUUCCUCAAUAGUGUUGGCUUUGUGAAAUGUUCAGUGGAACGUGGAGUGAAUGUCAAGAUGUCAAGUGUAACUGACAUAAUAAUCAUAUAUUUGUAUGUUGAUGAUCUUACACUCACUGAGAGUUGUGCAUAAGGCAAUGAGUAAUUGAAGCAAAGCCUGGAGAAUGAGUUUGAGAUGACUGACUUGAGAAAUCUAUCCUACUUCCUAGGAUUAUAAUUUUCAUAAUAUGUAGAAGGAAUUUUAAUAUACCAAAAGAAAUACAUCUUAGAAGUGCUAAGGAAGUUCAAUAGAAGUGGCUACAAUCAGACAGAGACUUUAGUUGAACCUAAAUAUAAAACUCACAAGUGGAUAAGGUGAAGCUGUAGUAAAUGCAACAAUAUAUAGACAUAUUGUUCACAUCAUAUGAUACAUAUGUGACAACAAACCAGAGAUUGCAUACAAUGUGGGACUAAUUAGUAGAUUCAUGAGUGAUCCAAGGUACUCACACUUACUAGCAACUACGAGGAUCAUGAGAUACCUCAAGGGAACAUGUGUAUAUGGAAUCUUGUUCUCAACUCAUCAAGGAAAUAGUGACAACAAUCUCAAACUUGUAGCGUACUCAGAUUCAGAUUGAUAUGGAGUCUUAGUUGAUAGAAAAAGUACAAUGGGACAUAUAUUCCUACUAUCAGGCUCACCUAACUUGGAGCUCAAAGAAGCAGUCAGUUGUGGCCCUAUCAACUUGUGAAGUAGAAUAAAUUGCAACAUCCUCAACUGCUUGCCAAACAUUUUGGCUAUAAUCUUUGCUUUGUGAAAUGAAUAUACUUAAUGUAGAGAACAUAGAACUGCUGGUUGAUAGUAAAUCAACAAUAGACUUGGCCAAAAAUCUAGUAUCCCAUGGUAGGAAUAAACACAUUGAUACUAAGUAUCAUUUCCUUAGAGACCAAGUAAGAAAAGGUUGAGAUUGAUAAAAAAUUUCAUUAACUUAGAUUCAACUAAAGCAUUGCAACACUGAUUUUUAGGUGGCUGAAAACGCUGUUAAAUGUCAUACUUCAUAUAUUUAACAAUACUUCUUCAGUGAGUGCAGUUAAAAGUGUUAUAUUUAAGAGUGCUUAUUGAAACAAACACUGUUAAAUAUCAUACAUUCAUAUAUCUAACAUCACUUCUUCAGUGAGCGCUGUAUUGUUAAAAGUGUUAUCUUUAACAAUGCUUAUGGAAGAAAGUGAUGUUAAAAGUCAUACUUCAUAUAUUUAACAGCACUUCUUCAAUAAGCGUUGUUAAAGAUCAUACAUUCAUUCAUAUAUUUAACAUCACUUCUUCAGUGAACAUUGAUAAAUGCUUGUUUUAGUGAGCGAGAAUCUUUUAAAAUUCGGAAACAAAACCUCACACAAUAAUACACAUUUCACUCAGUUUAUUAUUUCUCUUACUUUUCUUCUUCUCCAUGAGUUACAUUUUUUCCUCUUUUUUUUUUUAGUUUCUCUCUUCAAGCAAGUUAUCGGUUUUUGGUUUUUGGUUUUUCUCUUCCAGUCUAAGGUAAAUCGCUAUCUUAUUUUACCUCAUUUAUUUCUUUUUGAUUCAAUAUUAAUGCUUGCAUAUACACCAUAAAUAAAAAGUCUUUGAUGUAUUUGAAUCGUUAUAUUUUUAAACAAUUAGUUUAUUUAUGAUCAAUUUGGUGGAAACAUUUCACUAACAGUGUGAUCUUUAUUUGUGGUAAAGUUAUGCAACUAUGGUGUUCUAGGUUUUUUGCUGUAGUUCACUAGUUUAGAACGUAUAGUUUGAGUAUAAUGGUAAAUGUUCUUUCUCAAUUGCUGUUAAUUUUUUAUUUUUUAUAACUUUUGCAAUUUGUUUAGAGAUGCCAUUUUUUAUUUGUAUUUGCAGCUUGCAAUAAUCAUUGAGGAACACAUGAACACCAAGUAAGGACUUGCACAUUGGAGGAAAAAGAAUGAACAAUUUGCAUAAGAUCUCAUUAUUCACAUGUUAUUUUAUAAUAUUGGAAUAUGAUAAGGUUGAAUGUAGCUGAAGUCGUUGGUGAUUUAAUAAAUCUUGUAAAUAUGGUGGAGUUGGACAUGCUUGUCAUAUAUUGGAUAGAAUGUUUGGAAGAUAUAUUGUCUUAUUUAGAAAGUAGACAUUUAACAACGCUUGCUUCAGUGAGCGCUGCUAAAUGUCUACUUUCUACAACGCUUCAAAAAAUAAUGUUAAAUAUAACCUUGUGUACUAUUGUGCUCAAUAGAAAGUGUCUCAAAAACGUUGUUAAAUGACAAUUUUAAGUGUUGUAGUUUUGAUAUUCUGGCGUAGUGAUUGUAUCUCUCAAAAUCAGACAAGAUAGACUAAUGACAUAGUGAUACAUGUCAAUAUGAGCAAAAGACAACUGUCCACCAAGUAUAGAUCUUCCAAAGCUACCUGACAUUGGAAAAGCAAUCUUCGUUUGUCCAGGAUAGACCCAACAUACCAUCUGAUCGAUCAAAUCAACCUCAUCUACAAUGGAACUCAGAUGAUAUACACAUACUUAUUAAGUUUUUCACUUUGUCUCUUACUUAUUAUUCUUUGAUACUCUAUAUAUCUCACAUAUUGGCUUGAUCGUAUGAGAACCAUUCCACGUAAUUACCUCAAUGGGUUCAAGCACUUCUGAGGCUAUACUAGAUGAUUUUGAUCAAGUUACCACAAUUCGAAUCCAUCCUUUCAAGACAAAAGAACAUAUGUGAUAUGUGGAGGUGUCAAAAUAGACUACCCGAACGGGUUCGACCUAGCUCACCUCAGGUUCAGGCUAAAAAGAAUAGAUACAAUUUAUCCAUAUCAAGUUAUAGUCGAAACCUUCCCUAAGCGGGUUGCGGGUUGUGGCGUCCGGGCACGGACAAUACUAAAAAAUAUUUAUUUAAAUUUUUUUAAUCUAUUUAAUAUAUAUAUAUAUAUAUAUAUAUAUAUAUAUUAAAUAGAUUAAAAAAAUUUAAAUAAAUAUUUUUUAGUAUUGUCCGUGCCCGGACGCCACAACCCGCAACCCGCUUAGGGAAGGUUUCGACUAUAACUUGAUAUGGAUAAAUUGUAUCUAUUCUUUUUAGCCUGAACCUGAGGUGAGCUAGGUCGAACCCGUUCGGGUAGUCUAUUUUGACACCUCCACAUAUCACAUAUGUUCUUUUGUCUUGAAAGGAUGGAUCCGAAUUGUGGUAACUUGAUCAAAAUCAUCUAUUAUAGCCUCAGAAGUGCUUGAACCCAUUGGGGUAAUUACGUGGAAUGGUUCUCAUACGAUCAAGCCAAUAUGUGAGAGAUAUAUAGAAUAUCAAAGAAUAAUAAGUAAGAGAUAAAGUGAAAGAGUUAAUAAGUAUGUGUAUAUCAUGUGAGUUCCAUUGUAGAUGAGGUUGAUUUGAUCGAUCAAAUGGUAUGUUGGGUCUAUCCUGGACAAACGAAGAUUGCUUUUCCAAUGUCAGGUAGCUUUGGAAGAUCUAUACUUGGUGGACAGUUGUCUUUUGCUCAUAUUGACAUGUAUCACUAUGUCAUUAGUCUAUCUUGUCUGAUUUUGAGAGAUACAAUCACUACGCCAGAAUAUCAAAACUACAACACUUAAAAUUGUCAUUUAACAACGUUUUUGAGACACUUUCUAUUGAGCACAAUAGUACACAAGGUUAUAUUUAACAUUAUUUUUUGAAGCGUUGUAGAAAGUAGACAUUUAGCAGCGCUCACUGAAGCAAGCGUUGUUAAAUAUCUACUUUCAAAAUAAGACAAUAUAUCUUCCAAAUAUUCUAUCCAAUACAUGAAAACCAUGUCCAACUCCACCACAUUUACAACAGAUUUAUUAUAUCACCNNNNNNNNNNNNNNNNNNNNNNNNNNNNNNNNNNNNNNNNNNNNNNNNNNNNNNNNNNNNNNNNNNNNNNNNNNNNNNNNNNNNNNNNNNNNNNNNNNNNUUGAGAAAUAAAUUUGAAUCUUAGAUAAGGAAUGUAUUUUUACUCUUUUCGAAUAGUAAAUAUUUCUCAAAUUCAACAUGAAUCUACCUGAUUCAAAAGGGAAGAACUUGCCUCUGUCUCAAUUUGAAUUAGACUGCGUACCAUCACAUAUCAUCUAAACUAUGAUAAUAUGUAAUCUUAUGUAUAUAAGAUCAUGAUUAUGGAAAAUGUUUAAAUCUUAAGUUUUAUUUAACAUGACUUUAUAAGCUUUGAUAUUACAUGAUAAUAAGAUAUAAUCAAUCCUUAUCAACAUUUUAUUAUUCCAACACACACUUUUGAUAUUCAUUCUUGUGAUGCUUGGAUCCGAAGUUUAUCAAAUGGCCAUGGUGGACAACAAUAUGUGCGAAUACAUUUGCAACCAGGACCAUAAAGUUUUUGACACUGUAUGUCUGCGCUACAAGGAAAAUGCUCAAUGCGACCCGCAUAUGAUUCUUUGCACAUAUCUGU